AGCUGCAUCUCCACACAAUUUUAUAUUAUCAAUUUAUCACUCUGCUUUCGUGAAGGGAGUUCAAACUAACUUCAAGAUUGAACCAUCUUUUGGAGUUGAAGCCUCGCAGCUUUAUCCUGAUGUCAAGUACACUACAGUUGAUGAGUACCUCAAUCAGUUUGUGUAACCCUUCUCUGUUUCCAGCUGCAGCUUGCAGGAUCUUGGACUGUUGGUAAAUAAAUAAUUGGCUUGUUGCCAUCUUUGGUUUUAUAUGUAAAAAUUAUGGUUGUUGGCCUUACUUUCUUCUGGUUGUCCAUGGAAUUUGUUAGACCAUAUUAUGUUUGCUAUGUCAGUGAUCAAAUGAAGUAGGCCAUGUACUUGAUUUGAGAGUAGUAGUUAUAAAGCCAUCAUGAUCAGGUGGGUGCGUAGGUUGGGCUUCUAUUAGGGUGCGUGUGUUGGGCUUCAGGGGCUUGUGAUAUGGGUUCGACAGCCCCUAACGGGCAGUCAUUAUAAAAAUAAUUAUAGAGUUACAAAUCUAUGUAAAAAGCAAAAAUUAAAAGUAAUUUAUCAAUAAAAAUAAUUAAAAUUAAUAAAAAGUAGGUAUGAUAAUUCAGAAAUUAAAUUAAAGAUAGAAUUCUAAAGAGUUGGAUAAUCCUCCAACUAAACUAAAGAUCUAGUACUUUUGAGAGCAAAUUUAAUUAAAGAAAAGGAUAAGGAAAAACAAUAGAAUAAUAAUAUUAAAAAAUUGCAAAUCUUGGUCUUUUUUUUUUACGAUGAUGUUGAAUUCUUAUAAAUUUAAUCUUAUCUAUAGAAUUAUUUAGUUACUGUAUGUCAAAAUUUCCUAUAAAGAUGAAGAAAAAUUAUAUUAGGAGAAGAUCCAAAUCCGUUUAACUGAUGCAUCAUCGACAACAUGAGUACAACAUUUUCGAAUAAACAAAAGAAACUCGUUUUAUGUGUGAACCAGUUCCAAAAUAAAGAGCAGACUAUUGGAAGGAGACAAAUACUACAAGAAGAACAAAACAUUCUACAAUUCCUACAUGAGCCCGCAACAAUUAAUUAUUAACUCGACAUUCAUUACACUUUUUCUUUAAUUUGACAAAGAAACCAAAAAUAAGAUAAAAUUGACUAAGAAAUAAAAAAAUGACAAAAAUCUUUUUGAAGUUUUGCCAGUUCAGCCAUGCACGCUUAUCUUUAUUCACUUGUUUCCUUUCUUUCCUUUCUUUCCUUUCUUUCCUUUCUUUGCUGAAGCCUUCACAGAUCCUUUACCUUUCUGAGCCUUGCCAAUUUUCCCCUUCUUCAAACCACCUGGCCUUGCUGGAUCCACGUGUCCUUGCAUCCUUUUUCAUUCGUGGAUCAACAAGAAUCUCCCCCUUUCCAGCUCUCUCUUGAACUCCUUGCUUUGCGACCAUGUAUUCUUUGGUAGGCCUUUUGGGUAUAGUUGUCUUGUAUAAUUGUUCAAUUUGAUUCCUCUUCGAACGAUCAGAGAUGUCCGCUUAGUCUGAUAUGACAUUUGCCUUCUUGCGAACCUUCUCAAGAUUUCGCAUGGCAACCCGUAUCUUUCGAGCUUUGGUCUUAGCCACCUUCUUGGCAGUAUGGGUGGGCGAUUCGAUUUUGGGAUAAACUUUUGGUUUCGUAUCGGUUUAGAUUAAAAAAUAAUAUAAAAAAAUAUUUAGAUUUUAAGGGAAAAAAUCCGAACCGAGACUCACCUAUCGAUUUUGGCUCGGUUUCAGUUCAGUUUUGAUUCUCCUAAUAGUUUUAUUUUGCCUUAUUGACUUCCGGUCAAUGACACUUUUGAAAAAUUUACAAAAAAAAAAAAAAUGGCCAUAACAAAAUUUCUAAAUGCAAAUAUUUCCUAAACAUUAGGCUAUACUAAAUUUUUUUAAAAGGUAGGGAUCCAAACGAUAUUAUCCCUCUACUUCAUCUUCAACCUUCGUCACUAGGGAUGGCAAAAUUCAGGUUCGGGUUCGGGUCCGGGUUUAGCCAUUCGGGAUCCGGACCCGGAUGAAUAUUUUCUGUAUCGGACCCGAAAAUAAACCCGCAUUUUUCCACUCCGAGUCUGGUACGGGUUCAACCCGAAAAAAUUCGGGUUCCCAGACUGCGGGUUUCCAACCCGAAUUGAUGAAUCCAAUUGAAAAAAAAAAACUAAAUUCAACUAAAAAAAUCAAAUAGAAAUACAUAUCCAGGAUUUUAGCAAAUCAAAGAAAAAUUAUUUCAUCUGGAAACUAAUUAACAAAAACAACAAUUUUGUUUGGCUGCCCAGAAUCAGCAACCCAAUGUGGCGGCUCGUUCAAAACAUUAGUGUUUUCAACAGAUUUUGGGGUAGGAAAAGCCAAACCUAUCUAGAACAAUGAAUUUGUAUUUUUGGGGGAGAUGAGAUACCUCACUGGUUUGUUGUGUGCGGUGCAGUGUAUCUGAAAUUUGGGGGAUGUGAGAAGGGGAGAGGGAGUGGUAACAAUGGUGAAAGGUCAAAACCAAUAGAGAUGUCCUUCAAAAUGAGCUUCACACCUGUAAAACAGUGAAAUAAAGGUUAGAGGUGAAGCCGGGAUACCCCGGUGUUCACACUCCGAUGCUCAAGUUAGCAAACUCAAGCUUUUAUGACAAAGAGAACUGGCUAGCCCUCUGUAAAUUAGGGUUUAAGGUUCAAGGAAACCUAUUUUUUGGAAUGUGAGUGUUAAUGGUGAGUGAGAGACCUCUUCGAGAAUGAAACAUAGGCGCCUUUAUAUAUGGAGUACCUCAGCUGCCACAUGACGUACCCUUUUUUGGCUAACGUCAUUUUUCCUUUUUAUGAUUUUUGGGUCGUUAUGUGCAUGUUCGCGGGGUAUCUCAUCUUUUGGAAACGUGGCGCGCGCUGGAGAGUGGUCCAGGGUACCUCUGCAGUAGCUGUCGGGUAGGCAGCUGAAGACCACUGUCCUUGGGACAAUGUCCUUCACUUUUGGUAAAGGUGACAGGCGGUUGUCCCCCUUUUUAACACGACAUUUUUUAUUCCUAAUUAUGACAAAAUCGAAUAAUAUCUUUUAAGAGAUGGAGACGUUUCUCAUGGUGGAUAUUUUCAGAGGAUUCUCUUGCAUCUGAUCAGCCGGGUUCCUCCAGUUAUGCAGGGUACCUCUAAUUUUACGGGGUACCUCUAUUUGCGCAGGGUACCUUGAAUCAUGCUAGGUACCUUAGAUUAUGCGGGGUACCUCAUAUUGUGUGGGGUACCUCUAAUUGUGCGGGAUACCUCUAUUUGCGCUAGGUACCUUGAAUCAUGCUGGGUACCUCAGAUUGUGCGGGGUACCUCUAUUUGUGCAGGGUACCUUGAAUCAUGCUGGGCACCUCAGAUUGUGCGGGGUACCUUUAGUCAUGCGAGGUACUUUUAAUCAGGCCAGGUACCCUCUAAUUGUGCUGAGUACCUCUAAUCAUGCAGGGUACCUCUAAUCAUGCGGGGUACCUCUAAUCAGGCCGGGUACCUCAGAUUGUGCGGGGUACCUCUAUUUGCGCAGGGUACCUUGAAUCAUGCCGGGUAUCUCAGAUUGUGCGGGGUACCUCAAAUUGUGUGGGGUACCUCUAAUCGUGCGGGGUACCUCUAAUCAUGUCGGGUACCUCGGAUUGCACUGAAAUUAUUCCAUUCGUUGACACGUGGCGUUAUGCUAUCUUUCUUAUUUUUCCCCCAAACAACAUCCCUCUAGUUUCUUUUGGCAAGAAGUUUUGGAGGCAAAAGAAACUUACAUAAAAAGUAGGAGCGACACGUGGCGAUAUGAUGUUUAGCUCGAUGGAUAACUAAAUAGAGGGCGCCUCUAGGGGUACCCUGAGAACCCAAAAAGGGAAGAUGGGCUCCAUUUCCUCGGAAAUGGCUACCACUUUGGACAUGUUGGAAAUGAUAGAGCUAAUUGAUCAAAAAAAUUUCAUCUAUUUCUGGGGAAGAACACCAAAUACGGGUAGAGGGUAUCGUUAGGGUACCCCACCAUUAUCCAUAGUUUGUUUUCUAGUGACUGCCAUGUAUAAAUCGCUCUGGUGAAGGCUUCAAUACAUUCUUUGGGCAUUUAAGAAGCAAUUAUUUGAUUAUCUCGGGAUCCACCUUAUUUAAGGGUAUAUUUCCUUCAUGUGCUUCGAAGAAAAAAAUAAAAUCACAGGGCCUUCUUCCUUGUAACUUCAGAGGUACCAUCGACAGAAGAACAUAGUCGACAAUGCUUUUAAGCGUAUCAUGAUCGAGGAAUGGAGUGCUGAUCUGGGGUUGGUGGUGCCAAGAGUGGAGAAGAUGGUAGAUGAACCGGCUAUCUUGAAGGCGAUUAAUGAUAGCGGGGCUCCCAACACAUCUUGGUCUGAAAGCCCAUUGAGAUCAGCUGAGGUACCUCAGAUGAGGUAUCUAUAAGGUACCCCUGAUACUAACCCUUGUGUUUUUGCUACUUUUAGCACUUUAUUGAUCCCUUCAUCCUAAGGGAUGAAGUUGAAGAUAAAUAUCCUGUUGUAUAACCUUGUUCGACAUUACUGACAAGAUGUAUGGGGUACCUUGUUAGCCUAUAUGGCUAUAAAUAUUGAUUUUGAUGAUAACAAACCACAUGUAUUUAUUGAGUAAAGAUUUAUGAAUUGUGCUUUUAUAAUGAGAAAAUGAUGUUAUGGAAUUAAAUCUUUUUGAACUAAAAUGAAAGUAAUUUUAAAAUCUUUGAUAGUAUUUUAAAUUUCGGAUUUGUACAUAUUUGAAACUAUUUAAAUGUUUUUAGGUCAUUUUGUAAUUUCACAAAGUUUGGGCGAAGUCAUAAUUUCAUAAAGUUGUGGGAUUGAGAAAGCAUUAUCUAAAAUUAUGAAAUUGGACAUAUUUGCAAACGUUUAUAACGUUUUGGGCCAUACCACAGUUUUAUAAAGUUUUAGGGUCAAAUUGAAAAUAUUAGAAAAUUUUCACUGUAGCAGGUUACUGUAGCAAGCAGCUUACCGGAUUCAGAAAAUCAGAAAUCCGGAUUCGAGGCAGUAAGCAUCCAGAACCAAAACGGCUUACCGGAUUCCUGAAUCCGGCAAACCGGUUAGGCAAAAUUUUGAAUUUUGCCUUAACGGUAACAUAAAUCCGGCUUACCGAAUUCUAUAAAAUGGCAAACUGGAUAGCCUAGAAUGUGAGUAACGGCUAGUUUUCGAGCUCAAGCUAUAAGAACUCAAAUCCAACUCAUUUUGAAGCUCUCCAACAAGCAAGAACAAAAAGCACACGUGAUAUCUUGAGCCUUCAACUUGUAAAACACAAUUCAUUGAAUCAUUCAUUGUUCUUCAUCUUUGAAUAUCUACUCAUUGAGUGAGUUUCAUUGUAUCUUUCAUUUCUUCAAUUCAUUUGUAAGAGUUUGAGUGUGUGAGACACUUGAGUGAAGAGAUUGGGAGAUAAUCUCUUUGUUGUAAAGGUUUAUUGACACCUCGAAGUCAAUUGUAAUCGUUGAAGCCUUGGAAAGGCUUGGAUAGUGAAAUCCUCGAGCUUGGAUCGCUUGGAGGCGUGGACGUAGGCGGGGAUUACCGAACCACGUAAAAAUUCGUGUGUUUGUUUCUCUUCUCCCUUACUCUUUAAUUAUUGUACCAUUAUUGAACUUAUUACUUUCAAUUAUUGUUAAGACAUUAGAUUGCUUGUUGUGUGGAUUUGUUAGGAUAAUUUUUAAAAAUCCAAUUCACCCCCCUCUUGGGUUGCACACUUGUAUUUCAUACCUCAUGUACCCUAAUGCUUGGAUAUCCCUUGAGCUAUCUGUUACUUCAUGGCGGAAUAACCCAAUUGCAUCAAACAUAUGGCGAUUCUUCCAGAUAUGCUUGUCGCUUAUCUUAAGCUUUCUUAGGGUUCCUCCUGGUGUAUCUGAGGAAUAGCUUUCUGGCGUGGGGUACCCUUAAUCAGCGUAUGGUGAUUUUCAUAGAAAUGCUUGCCGCAAAUCUUCACAAAACUUGUUGCGGUUGCUUUUGAGAGAUUGUGCGGGGUACCUUGAAUCAUGCCGGGUAUCUCAGAUUGUGCGGGGUACCUCAAAUUGUAUGGGGUACCUCUAAUCGUGCGGGGUACCUCUAAUCAUGUCGGGUACCUCGGAUUGCAGUGAAGUUAUUCCAUUCGUUGACACGUGGCGUUCUGCUAUCUUUCCUAUUUUCCCCCAAACAAUUAGUAAAGAGAGCUAAAGAACUAGCUUUAGUUACGAGCAGAAAAUCAGAAGUCAAGGAGCAGCCAAAGCACUUUUAAUGGUGAUGGUAAAACUAGAGAGGUAAUGCAAAUAAGUUUACGUUGAUUGGAUAUUCAGAAGAAGUAAUACGCCAUUAAAAGCAACAAGUUUUCCAAAAAGCCAACAAAGACAGAGACCACCACACCACCCCGCACUGGAUGAAAAACGAUGAAAGCAUGAUAAGUGGCAUCGAGUAAGCCACGUUCUCUCUCUCUCUCUCUCUCACUCGCACUCGCACUCGCACUCGCACACACUGUUACUAAAAUGACCAAAAAUAAGAUUCCCAUCAAAAUAUUUUCGAGUAUCGUUCUUGAAAGUGGCGGCGGCUGAUGAUGAUGAACACAGCCGCGAUUGCGAUUGGCGAAGGCGGCGUUCUGCCCGUAUCACAGCUAGUUAUCGGUCGCGGCAGAAAAGAUAAUGAAACGACGGCUGAUGAUGAUGAUGAUGAUGUUGAACAGCCGCGAAUAUGGGUAAGUGAUGCGACGAUGAUUUGAUUUGAUGAAGAUGAGCUGAACAUGGAAUAAGAGAGGAAAUGUUUGUGCGGCUGGGAAAGUGUAAUGAACUGCUAGGGCACCAUUUGGGUUUUUUUGCUUUCCUAUUUAUAUUAAAAAUAAUUUUUAAAAAUUAAUAUAUAUCCGGGUUCGGGUUUUGGAUGUACGGGUUUACCUAGACCCGGACACAUGCGGAUUCAGCAGCACCGACCACCCACAGACUUGGAUUUGAUUACAAAGUUGGGACUUAGGAUUUGGGUUUGUGGCUGCCGAAACAGAAAGUGAGAGAGUAGAAAGUAGAGACUGAGAGUGGUGCAAACAUGUGUAAUUUUGUGUGUGUGUCUAUAUAUAUAUAAUGUGAAAUUACAAAAAUGCCAUUAUAUCAGUUCAAUUCGAAUUUUGUAACUUGUGAUCCGAAAACUGAACCAAACCGAACCAUUUGGUUUGGUAUUUAUAUAUUCAGGUUUUUAAUUUAAAAAAACUAAAUUGAAAUUGAAAGAACUAAACCGAACCGAAUUUUUUUUUUUUUUGUUUCGAUUCAAUUAUGCCCAUCCCUACUUAGUAGGCUGGGUAUCAAUUUCUUUGAAUUGUGCUUUCAUUGCAGUAAUCUCCUCCUUGGUAAUAGGUUUAAUUGCUUGCUGAUGCCACCUUUCCUCUAGUAACAACUAGUCUAACAAGCCAUCAUCGUCAAACAUGUACCUAUUAUAAGCAUCAUCCAGAAUUUGCUCUCUUUGCUUUUUGCUUAGUGUCUUCUUUGCACAAGCUAUUAUCUUAGCUUUUGUAUCAAUAUCUUUAUCUUUUGAUUCACCAGAGGAUGAAUCAUCACCGGAAUAGAGUGGUGAAGGCCCCAUAGAUUAGUGUGAUCAAGUUCUAGUGUAGUUUUGGUUUUGAUUUCAGUAUUAGGAAAAUGAAGCCUAUGAAAUUUACCAAGCUAACAUGCUUCACAAAAGUGCUUUAAUACUUGACUAUGAAUACUUGAAGAGGAUAAAUGAGGAUAAAUAAAUUUAAAUAUACAUUAGAUUUUGAGGGUUGGGAUGUCAAAACUUUUGGUGAAAAAGAGUUAGUACAAGCAUUUUUAUUGAGAUUGAAAACAUUUCUUAAGAUGAUCAAUACUAGUUACAAAAUUGGAAUGAAAAAAAAAAGGCAACAUAGACAAAGGUUUGUUUAUUUGAUUGUAAGAUAGAAAAGACUUGUAUUUAGGUUGUGGAAAGGAUUUGAGCAGCAAUUUAUACAACCUUUUCUCAGCAAAACCUUCCUCUUCAAUGAAUCCUUCACAAAACAAAUAGAUCCAAGAAAUUCGACAAAUAAAUUGUUGUCAAUGGUAAGUUUUGAAAUGCUCAAUAGAUUCUUUGUAAUGGAUGGAACAAACAGUACAUCCUUAAGUAAAAUAUGUCUUAUAUUAUCUUUUUUUAAUUCUUUUUAAAAAAAUAAGUGAAUAAUAGUAUGUCAAUCUCAAAUAUCAAUAUGUACAAUUUUUAUUUGUGUAAGAAUUUGCAUCCAAUAAUCAUCAAUACAUAAUUGUCUUUUAAUUGAAUGGUUCUCACCUCCCUUCCAAACUUUGAAAAGGUAAAAUAAGAUCAAUCAUGUCAGUGGCAAUUAAUAUAAAGAUUACUUUUCUUAUUUGUAGUAACGUCCUCUGAUUAUUUAGCUGAUUUUCAAGCUACACAUUUAUUCCAUUUGAUGUUGAUAUUAGUAAAAUUAAUGUAAUAUUUAAAAAGGAAAAAAAUCCGUCGAGCUAAAAGCCGAGUAUAAAAUUGAACCAGACCCAAACCAGAAACGCACGCCAACAACAUGUUUGCGUCAGUCGGCCCAUGCCCAUAAACCCACCAAGCCCGAUCCAAAUAGAAAAAUGAAUUGGACACCCGAGAUAGCAGAAACAGAUAAGUAACGGUCGUGCUAUCCCCAAUCUCAUAUCUUCAACGGUAUCCAGCCAACAUCUCAAAGUGUUCAAUUUUUUUUUAAGCCAAAAAAAAAUUCAAAAUUUUCAAGCGGAAUCUGGGAAGAUAGCGAUGAAAAGCAAGAUUCUGGUUAUCGGCGGAACCGGAUACAUCGGUAAGUACUUAAGGUGCGUUUGAAAUUGAGGUUGAGCAACUAUAACUUUAAAACUGCAGCACUAAAAUAUUUGGUAAACACUAAUUGUUGUAACUUAAAAGCUAUUUAAUAUAAUUUUUCACUUGUAUAAUAAAAAAUUUAUUAUCUUUAAUAAUUUUGUCAAAAUUAUUAUUUAAAAUAUAUACAGUAAGAGAGAUUGUAACAUUUUCAAUCUUUGGUUUGAUAUUCUGGAAGAAAACGAUUUGCCGUUUAUGGAGAAAACUGCUAACCGUUUAAUUUCAGAGAGCAUGUUUUCUAUUCUAGAGAAAACGGCUAACCGUUUGGAGAAAACGGCUAACCGUUUGGAGAAAAUGGCUAACCGUUUGGAGAAAACGGCUAACCGUUUAAUUCCAGAGAGCAUGUUUUCUGUUCUAGAGAAAAUGACUAACCGUUUGGAUAAAACGGCCAACCAUUAAUUACAGAGAGCAACUUAUUUGACAUUCUGGAAUAAAACGGCUCACCGUUAUUGAGAAAACGGCUAACCGUUUAUUUCCAGAGAGCGUGUUUUUGCGUCAACUGGAAAAACGGUUAGCAAGCUUAGAAAUUUCAAUUGUCAAUCGAUGCAAACUCAAACCAAAAGAGUGUUUUUUUGAAGAAGUACUAUUUUUAAUGGUUGUAUUCUUUCAAAUAAACAUCUUCUUUAUUAAAGAUAGACAAACUAUUAUAUCAUAAUUAGAUUUUGCAGGUUUCAUAUAUGUUCUGGAAAUACAAUCUUAUUUUUUAGAGAUUGUAUUCAGGAUUUGAUAUAUCUUAGGGGUAAUUUGCCAUUAAAACUCUAUAGCAAACCAAGAUUGGUGAGGGUAAAUAAAACCUUAAAGAAAAAUGUGCAAACACGUCUCAAAUCCUAAGAAAUUUUCUUUGUUCUUUGCCUCCAUAUUCUUAAAAUUUGAAAAUUCACCCAUCAAUCUUUAAGGUUUUAUUUUGAUGCAAAUAGAGGCUGAGAAGAGUUUGACGUCAUUUCUUAAUCCUAGUGUCCAUCUCGAUCGUUUUGAUGGAACAAAUUUCACUCGUUGGAAGGAAAAAUUGUUCUUUCUUCUUACUGUUCUUAAAGUGGCAUAUGUUCUUAAUCCGAAAUUGGAACCAUUUCCAGAACCAAGGGAAGAUGAUACCGAAGUUGUUAAGGCUGUAAGGAAACGUCGUGAAGAUGAUGAAUUGAUGUGCCGGGGUCACAUACUCAAUACGCGUUCUGACAGGUUAUAUGAUCUCUACAAUUUUAUGACUUCUUCGAUGGAAAUUUGGAAUGCUCUUGAGUACAAAUACAAAACGGAGAAAGAAGGUACUGACAAAUUCCUUGUCUCUAAAUAUUUUGAAUUUAUUAUGGUAGACACACAAUCCAUUCUUGAUCAAAUACAUGAGUUAUAAAUUAUUGUUGCUAAGCUUCGAGAGUUAAAAGUUAAAAUUUCUGAAUCAUUUCAAGUUGGGACUAUUAUUGCUAAAUUGCCUCAAAGUUGGAAUGAUUAUAGAAAGAAACUCCUUCAUAGUAAAGAGAACAUAACUUUAGAAGAAUUGCAAAAACACUUGGUAAUUGAAGAAGAGACUAGGUCUCGCGAAUCCAAGGAUAAACAUGAUUCUACUAAAGUUAAUGUUCUUGAAGCUAGUAAAUUCUCAAAGAAUUUUAAAGUCAAGAAUGACAAGAAAUUUAAGAGGUCCAGCACACAAAAGUUUUCUGGAAAUUGUUUCUUUUGUGGUAAGAAAGGUCAUCGCCAAAGUGAUUGCAGAUUCAAGAAAAAAAAAGAAGAAGUGAAUUCCUAUAAAGCUAAUGUUAUUGAAAACAAAUCUGAAAAGAUUUGUGCUAUGGUUUCUGAAAUACAAAUUGGCAUGAUUAUCGAAACCAAUAUGGCUGAAACUAAGUCCUAUGAUUGGUGGCUCGAUUCGGGUACAACAAUUCAUGUUUGUAAUGAUAAGAAAUUUUUAUUAUCAUACAAAGAAGAAACGGAAGGACAAAUGGUUCUCAUGGGGAACAAUAAUGCAGCCAUAGUAGCAGGGAAAUGAGUAGUUGAGAUCAACUUCACUUCUAGAAAGAAAGUCACAUUGUAUAAUGUCUUUCAUGUACCUUCCGUUAGGAAGAAUCUUAUUUCUGCUAGUUGUAUGUGUAAGCAUGGGCUUAAGAUUGUGCUUGAGGGUAAUACUUGUAUUAUCUCAAAGAAUGAAUUAUUUGUUGGGAAAGGGUAUUCUUGUGAUGGAAUGUACAAACUCAACAUUAAUAAUAAUAAUAUCAACUUAGCUUAUAUUGUUGAGUCUUGUGAUGUUUGGCAUGCUAAAUUAGCACAUUUGAAUUUUAGAUCUUUGAAAUACAUGUCUGAGCAUGGUUUGAUUAAUUGCAAUGAUGUUAAAGGUCAUAAGUGUGAAAUCUGCAUCCAAGCUAAAUUAACUAAGAAACAUUUUCUUAAAGCCGAACGAAAUACUCAAAUAUUGGAUUUAAUAUAUACCGAUAUUUGUGAGUAUAAUGGCGUUUUAACAAGAGGAGGUAAGAAGUACUUUAUCCCUUUUAUUGAUGAUUGUUCUAGAUACACUUAUAUGUAUUUACUUAGAACAAAAAAUGAAGCUUUUGAUAAAUUUAAAAUUUUCAAAGCUGAAGUUGAGAACCAAAAAGAUAAGAAAAUCAAAAUGGUUCGUAGUGAUAGAGGUGGUGAAUAUUUCUCAAUUGAAUUUAAUAAUUAUUGUGAAGAAUUUGGAAUUAUUCACCAAAGAUCAGCUCCAUUUACUCCUCAACAAAGUGGUUUGGCUGAAAGAAAGAAUAGGAUCUUCACGGAUAUGAUAAAUUCCAUGAUCCAUAAUGCAAAACUACCAAAUAAUUUGUGGGGGGAAGCAUUACUCACUGCAUGUCAUAUUCAUAACAGAAUUACAUCUUUGAAAACACAUAUAUCUCUUUAUGAAAUUUGGAAAGGAAGAAAACCAAACUUGAUGUAUUUAAGGGUCUAGGGUUGUUUAGCUUUUUAUAAAAUACAUGAUCCUAAAUCAUCAAAGUUAAGUGCUAGAUGUAUAAAGAGUGUUUUCGUAGGAUAUGCUGAAAAUUCUAAGGCUUAUAGGUUGUUAGAUUUAGAUUAUAAUGUGAUUGUGGAAUCUAGAGAUGUUGAAUUUAUUGAGAAUAAAUUUCAACAUGAUUCUAAUAUUGAAUUAGAAUCAAUUAUUGAUCAACCAUGUGUUAAUACUCCUGUUACCUCCACUAACAAUAAUAAAAGGAAAGAGUCUAUGACAUCUUUCGAACCAAUGAGGAGUCAACGUGAAAAGAAAGAAAAGAGUUUAGCUCCGGAUUUUAUUUCAUCACAAGCACUACUCUUCUUGGUUGAAGGGGAUAGAAAGAAUGUACUUAACAAAGUACCAUUAUUGUUAAAUAUUGAAAAAGAUCCAAAGACAUUUAGCGAAGCUAUGUCUUCUAGAGACGCUUCUUUUUAGAGAGAGGCGGUAAAUGAUGAAAUUGAUUCGAUUAUUUCGAAUCAAACAUGGGUCUUGGUUGAUCUUCCUCCAGGAUCUAAACCAAUUAGCAGCAAAUGGGUAUUUAGAAGAAAGUACAAUAGUGAUGGUUCUUUGCACACUUUUAAGGCUAGAUUAGUAGCCAAAGGGUUUAAGCAAAGAAAUGGUAUUGAUUAUUUCGAUACAUAUGCUUCGGUAGCAAGGUUAACUUCUAUAAGAGUGCUAUUUGCAAUUGCUUCAUUGAACAAUUUGUAUGUGCAUCUAAUGGAUGUUAAAACCGCUUUUCUUAAUGGUGAUCUUGAUGAAGAAAUCUAUAUGGAACAACCUGAGGGAUUUGUUUUACCAGGAAAUGAGAAAAAAGGUAUGCAAAUUAGUCAAAUCACUUUAUGGUUUAAAGCAAGCACCAAAACAAUGGCAUGAGAAGUUUGAUUCGGUAAUUUUAUCUCAUGGUUUUAAGCAUAAUAAUGCUGAUAAAUGUAUAUAUUUUAAAUUUACGAAUGAUUUUGGUGUGAUUAUAUGCUUGUAUGUUGAUGACUUGCUUAUCUUUGGGACAAAUAUGCAAGGAGUAGAUGAUACAAAGAAGUAUUUAACUUCACAAUUUAAGAUAAAAGAUCUUGGUGAAGUAGAUACUAUCUUAGGUGUCAAAGUGAAGAAACAUAGUGAGGGUUACUCGUUGUGUCAAUCUCAUUAUAUAGAGAAAGUGCUUCUUAAAUUCAAUUAUUUGAAAUUUAAAGAAGCUAAUACCCCAUAUGAUUCUAGUAUUAAAUUAUUAGAGAAUUCAGGCCGAGUAGUAGCACAACUAGAAUAUGCUAGUGCUAUUGGUAGCUUGAUGUAUGCUAUGCAUUGUACGAGGCCUGAUAUAGCAUUUGCAGUUUGCAAAAUGUCAAGAUUCACGAGUAACCCUAGUGUUGAACACUGGAAAGCAAUUGGUAGAAUACUUGGUUAUCUUAAAAGGACCAUUCAUUUGGGUUUAUUUUAUAAUGAUUAUCCUGAAGUACUGGAAGGAUAUUCAGAUGCUAGUUGGGUAACCAAUACAAGAGAUAAUAAAUCCACUUCUGGUUGGAUUUUUACAAUUGUUGGAGGAGCAGUUUCCUGGGCUUCAAAGAAACAAACGUACAUAACUCAUUCAACAAUGGAAAGUGAGUUUAUAGCACUCGCAGUUGCAAGCAAGGAAGUAGAAUGACUGAGAAAUUUGUUGUUUGAUAUAAUGUUAUGGCCACAACCGAUGCCAUAUAUUUCUUUGUACUGCGAUAGUGAAGCUACAUUGUCUAGAGCUUAUAAUAAAGUGUAUAAUGGAAAGUCUAGACAUAUUAGCUUGAGACAUGAAUAUGUGAAACAAUUAAUAGCAGAUGGUGUUAUUAAUAUUGUUUAUGUUAGGACUAAUAAGAACCUAGCGGAUCCUUUAAUAAAAGGUCUUACAAGAGACUUAGUUAAGGAUACAUCUUUUGGAAUGGGAUUGAAACCUUUAAAUAAUAAAGUCACCAACGACGAUAACCCAACUAUGUAGUAGUUGUACCGCUACUCCAUAGUUAAAUGGAUAAUAACAAGUUGUUGUUAUGUGACUGGUUUGGCACCGAGUAAUAAAUAAUCACAUUCGAGAUAUUCGGUGCAAAUAGCUACGAGGUUGAGGUUGAGUAUUUAUUCUUAAUGAAGUUCAAGUCUUAUAGUAGCUAAAGACAUGAUUUGAAACUUCACCUAAGUGAACAUAAGAAAUGGUGCCGUUUCUAACAAGAUCAUGGUUUAAUCUAGUAAAUGUUCAUGAAUUCAAGAUAGAGCACAAGGCCGGAAUAGUGCUAAAUAUUGGAACACAACUUUGAAAAUCUGGGAUAGCUUAUAUGUGAUGUAUCUCCGGUAUUUACUUAAGAGACAAAGUUUAAUGCUUAGCACAUUAUUGUCUUGUAAAUGCUUUGAAAUACACUCACUAAUUAAAGGUUAAAAUCGAAAGAUAUCUUUUUGUAUGUAUAAGUUUAUCAUUAAUAAAUAUGAAAAAUAUUACAAUCUAGUGGGGGAUUGUAAGAGAGAUUGUAACAUUUUCAAUCUUUCGUUUGAUAUUCUGGAAGAAAACGGUUUGCCGUUUAUGGAGAAAACGGCUAACUGUUUAAUUCCAAAUAGCAUGUUUUCUGUUCUAGAGAAAACGACUAACUAUUUGGAGAAAAUGGCUAACUGUUUAAUUCUAGAGAGCAUGUUUUCUGUUCUAGAGAAAGCGGCUAACCGUUUGGAUAAAACGACCAACCGUUAAUUACAGAGAGCAACUUAUUUGACAUUCUGGAAUAAAACGGCUCACCGUUAUUGAGAAAACGGCUAACCGUUUAUUUCCAGAAAGCGUGUUUUUGCGUCAAUUGGAAAAACGGUUAGCAAGCUUGGAAAUUUCAAUUGUCAAUCGAUGCAAACUCAAACCAAAAGAGUGUUUUUUUGAAGAAGUACAAUUUCUAAUGGUUGUAUUCUUUCAAAUAAACAUCUUCUUUAUUAAAGAUAGACAAACAAUUAGAUCAUAAUCAGAUUUUGCAGGUUUCAUAUAUGUUCUGGAAAUACAAUAGAUCAUAAUCAGAUUUUGCAGGUUUCAUAUAUGUUCUGGAAAUACAAUCUUAUUUGCUAGAGAUUGUAUUCAUGAUUUGAUAUAUCUUGGGGGUAAUUUACCAUUAAAACUCUAUAGCAAACCAAGAUUGGUGAGGACAAAUAAAACCUUAAAGGAAAGUGUGCAAACACGUCUCAAAUCCUAAGAAUUGUUUUUUGUUCUUUGCCUCCAUAUUCUUAAAAUUCGAAAAUUCACCCAUCAUAUACAUACUACAUAUUAUUAACUUUUGUUUUAUAACUAUAGUGUUUUUUUUUUACCGCAACUGUAGUUUAAAAACUACAGCACCUCAAUCCCAAACAAGACCUUAGUGGAAGCGAGCGCAAAAGCCGAUCACCCAACAUUCGCGCUUGUGAGAGACUCCACUCUCUCCACUCAUUCCAAAUCCAAAAUCCUCGACCGUUUCAAAAAUCUCGGCGUCAAUUUAGUUCUUGUGCGCCACUCUUUUAGCUUUCCAAUUUUCCCGCCAAUUUUCUUUUAUUGUGAUUAAUUAAUUAAUUAAUUAAUUAAAGUAAAGAUUUUAUAUUAUAAUUUUGUUUGCAGGGAGAUCUAUACAGCCAUGAGAGCUUGGUGAGUGCAAUAAAGCAAGUGGAUGUUAAGGUAAUGAUUAACUUAAGUAAAUGCGUUAACUAAUUACUUGGGAUUUUAAAUUCAAAUGCGUGAAUUGUUCUAAAAAAUGAUUUAUGUUUAUUAGUCAGAGAUUCUUUCCUUCAGAAUUUGGAAAUGAUGUUGAUCGCGUGCAUGCCGUUGAGCCAGCAAGAACAUCAUUUGCCACCAAGGCUAAAAUCCGCCGAGCUGUUGAGGCUGAAGGAAUUCCAUACACCUACGUAGCUUCCAAUUUCUUCGCUGGUUUGUAUCUUUCCAGUUUCUCACAGCCUGAAGCCACAGCUCCUCCAAGGGAUAAAGUGGUCAUCGUAGGUGAUCGAAAUGCAAAAGGCAAAGCGCUUCUGGAUACAUUUACUCUGUACACGCAAUGUGUGGUUACUGUUUGGGGAUAAAAAAGGAGAUUAAUUAAUAAAGAAAAUGAAAUUAUUGAGGGAUUUGCUGAAGAGUUGCGUGCACUCCUCAUUUUUCUCCACCACUCAUCUUACUUGCAAAAUGCAAUGACCAAACUAUCCUCGCCAAAGCCUAGACAUUUACUUGUGUUCAAAGGCCAUUUAAGAGAGACAAGUACAAAAAAUUAUAAAGGAUAGUGAGCAAAAGAAGAAAAUGGAAGGAGGGGAGAAUAAAAAAUGGGAGUGGGGCGUUAUCUAGGGAGGAUUUUUAUUUUUAUUUUUUUUCCUCUCUUCUCCAUGGCAUCUCUUUCUCUCUUUCUCCCACUAAGAAAUUCUUUCUUUUACACUCUAUUUUACUUUUAUUCAAAUUACACAAAAAACUUUUGGUUUUAAGGCAAUGUUUAUUAAGCCACGUGAAUUUGAAAAAGCAGGAAUAAGGGGAUGAUUUUAACACAUUAAUUCACCAACAUUAAUUGGAAAAGAUCAGUUGCCACUUCGAAUCAGAGUAAUUUCUUCGGCAAUAGCCAAAUAUUGAUAUUUGAUCUUGACACUGUAGUUAAAUCAAUGUAACUGGUUUUGUCAUUUGAUCCCCAGUAAUUUUUAACAAGGAAGACGAUAUUGGAAUUAAUUCUAUCAAAGCGGUGGAUGAUCCGAGAACACUGAACAAAAUACUUUACAUCAGACCCCGUUGCAAUAUCUACUCAUUUAAUGAUCUUGUGUCUCUGUGGGAGGAAAAGAUUGGCAAAGCCCUUGACAGGGUCUAUGUUACAGAGGAACAACUUCUGAAAAACAUUCAAGGUUAGUUAGAACUAUCACUUUAUCAAGUGCAUAGAUGUAACUGACCGAUAAUGGAAUUUUUUUUCCUUCUCCAAAAUGCGAUAGAAUCUAAUCGGUUUCAACAAUCUCAAGAACACCUAUUCAUGGUUGUGUUGUUUGAAAUCUGUAUGUAUCAGUUUUCUUUCUAGAUCUCAGAUUGCUCGCAAGGAUGUCAAGUUUUGAUGAUGCUUGCCUGUUUUCCUGUGUUUACAGAAGCUUCAUAUCCACUCAAUAUGAUAUUACCUAUUGGGCACUCUGCCUAUGUCCUGGGAGAUCAGACCAACUUCGAAAUUGAACCUUCAUUUGGAGUAGAGGCAACAGAGCUUUAUCCAGAUGUCAACUACACUACUGUGGAUGAGUACCUCAACCAGUUCAUAUAAACCUUCUGAGAUGAGCAGCAGGAUCCUAACAAAAAAUUGGGUGGUUUCCAUCCCUGAUUCUAUGGUAUAAAGAUAGCGGCUUUCCCUGCUUUUGCCAGUUCAAUGAAGUUUGUUAGAUGAUGUUAUUUAUACUAUACUAGCAAAGAUCAAGUUGCCUUUCUUGUCAAGAAGCCAAGCUCUGGCAUUGGUUUAUGCUAGUUUUUCAUGUUUAUUACUUUUUUUGCAUUCAAAAUGAUAAAACUGCAGAGGUUGUUGCAUGCACGUCAUUUGUUAGUAGGGGUAUCAAUUUAUGAACGUAUGAAGUAUCUCUUCUGCAACGGCAUCCUCCUUAACUGUCAGUAGGAUCACAAUAAGUCGACCAACCAUCUACCGUAUGGAUUAUCUAUAAAUUGAAAUUGGUGUGUAUUAUGGAUCUGUCACUCUGCUGUUUCUGUUUUCUUUUCUAUUUUUACCAAGAAAGAAACAUUGUUAAAACUGAAUGGUUGUUAUCUCGUCUUGUUGUAAUGUUGUGUAUGCUUUCUAGAAAAUAAUGAAGUGCCAAAUAUGAAAAUACUAGUGGCUACCUUACCAUCCUUAAUAAGUUGUCUGAUUGUCACCGUCAACAAUCACUCUCAGCAACUCAUAAUCCAUUUAAGCAUAUUAUAAAAUAAUCAAUUUUGUAUUUGCACCAACUUUUAGUUUUAAAUGACAAUUUCGUUGAUCCCCACACUUCUGUACUAAUCAAAUCCACUGAAACUGGACUUUUUUUUCUUUUUUUUUAUAAUUACAUCGAUUGCAUUGGCUAUUGCAGGGAAAAGACUGCCUCUACAGGGAACUAAACUUUCAGAAUUGUUCUUAUGAGGGUUUGAAUAUGCUCUCGUACUAGGUCAAUGGCCUAUUGGUUCGAGACCAUUCACAAAGAAAGAAAUGAGUUUUGCUUGUAUAAAUGAAAGAAAUCCAAAUGAUAACUAAUGUAUAGUGGUACAUGAGAAAAAUAAUUUCAGCCCGUGUAAAGUCAAAAAGAGAAAAUAUUAAAAGAAAGGAUAAUGUCAUUGAGUUCGGUGAAGUGAAAGAAAAUGAAAAACAUGGGAUUUAGUCAAACUUAGUGUCCCAAUCAGCAGAAAAAGGUUUUAGAAACUCACCUCAAGUUAAGCCAACUAUUAGGAGCUUUAUUUAAUCAUGACUUUCUAAUGUAUAGUACUCCAAUACUAAACGAGGGCUACCUCUACGCUUGCAAUUGUAAAUGAAAUUGAGUUCGUGACGCACAAUGAAGUGAGCAAAAUGAGUUGAGAUCUGAGAAUAUAUUAAAGAAAAUAUGAAUCAAUGAAUUUUGGUUAAAAAAAACAAAUGCUGGUUCUUCAAGACCUGCGUGUAUUGUGUAAGUUUUGUUAGGAGAAGGAAAGCAUUUUGGUCUAAAACGCACUAAAUCGGAUUCAUUUGCUUGAUAUCUAAUAAGGGUGAAUUAACCACUCGCCCACAGCAAUUCAAGUCCCAAAAAAAUUAUUGUGGGGGCUAAAUUUCUUCUUUAAUUAUAACAAAUAAUUGAGUGGAGGAUAAAAAUUUAGGCCAUGUAUAACAAUAACUAAUAUAAACUAGUCCUAAUAAUAGUAUAAUUGUAAAUAUCAGUUGUAGUCUCAUACAAUAUAAGUUUAUAGAUUAUAAUAUCGGCAUAAAAAGAAAAAUGAUAUCUGACGGUCAAUCAAUAAAAGGACAAAAACUUGGAGUAACAUACCACAAAGUCAAUGUAGCUGGACAGAUGAAUAUAAUAUGUAAACAAAUUUAAAUGGGAUAAUACCAUACGGUACAUACAUAACAUUUUAAAACUGAAUUAAAAAAAUAAAAUUAAAACUGAAUUGGAAUUCGUAUGUGUAUCCAGCUACCUUGCAACAGUUGUAAGGUACCCUAACUUUGCAACAAUUUCAUCCUUCGUGCAUUCGGUCACAAAGUCCAAAUUAGGCACGUUUAAGAAUCGAACUGAAAAACUAAAAAAAAAGAAUCCGGCGAUAUUUGCGAACCGGAAACGAGCCAGCGUUAUGCUUAUGUCAUUUCAGAGAUAUCAACAGUCGUGCUUUCAGUCCUUAAACCUCAAGGGCAUUUUCGUCCUUUCACUCAAGCGUGAAACUGCAUGUAAGAACUGCUUCGCUUACACGCUCCAUGCACAUUUAAAGGCACCACUGUCGGAUAAAAAAUAUCCAUCCAUUUGAUCAUUUCAAAACAAAACGAAAAAAAAAAUCUCAGUAAUUGAACUGAACGAGUCUCAGAAAUGGCAUCGAAAAGUAAGAUUCUAUUCAUCGGCGGGACAGGGUAUAUCGGUAAAUUCACUGUCGAAGCGAGCGUAAAAGCCGGCCACCCGACGUUCGUGCUCGUGAGAGAAUCCACAAUCUCUGGUCCUUCCAAAUCUCAACUCCUCGAUCACUUCAAAAACCUCGGCGUCAAUCUUGUCAUAGUGCGUUUUCAUUUUUCUCUUUUCUUUAUUUUUUAUUCCGAUCAUUUUUACACGUCGAAGUGUAGCAUCUACUACUUAAUAUACAUAAUGAUAUUAUUAUUUUUUAAUUUUUUUGGGUUGCUGUUAUUAUUAUACAGGGAGAUGUGUUGAAUCACGAGAGUUUGGUGAAGGCGAUAAAACAAGUGGACGCGGUGAUAUCAACAGUUGGUCACACUUUAAUAGCCGAUCAGGUCAAGAUUAUUGCUGCCAUUAAAGAAGCCGGUAACGUUAAGGUAUGACAUAAUUAAUGUAAAUGUCUUAGAUUUCGAUCAGGAUUGUGCACUCGUGCACACGUGGUGAUUUAUUCUUCGUGUGGAGCUCGCUGUAGAGUAGAGCUCCCAGUUCCGCUAAUAAACACCCGUCAGAUGCGCAAUUGCGCCUCAAAAUAAUUUAAUUAAUUAAUUAGGUAUAAACACCGAUGGCAUGAAAGCAAUUAAAAUUAGUUGAUGUUUAUAAAUUAUUUAUUACUCAGAGAUUCUUACCAUCGGAAUUUGGAAAUGAUGUUGAUCGAGUCGAAGGCGCCGUAGAGCCAACAAAAUCGACGUAUGACGUAAAGGCGAAAAUCCGCCGAGCCGUUGAGGCAGAAGGCAUUCCGUACACUUACGUAGAAUCUUAUUGUUUUGAUGGGUAUUUCCUCCCCAAUUUGUUGCAGCCUGAGGCCACUGCCCCCCCUAGGGAUAAGGUUGUCAUCUUAGGCGAUGGAAAUCCAAAAGGUAAUAUAAUUUAAUUAAGCUCUGUUUGUUUGGUAUGUAUUGCGGUGUUAAUGUUAUUGUCUGUUGUACAAUGGAUGGUCUUGCUUGGUACUGUUGUUGGAGAGCUGCAGUGUUUUGAUAAACACCUCUAUAGUCUAUCCUUAUCCUUAGCUUUCAAGUUAAGUUGAUUUUAUACAACACUUGUUUAAUUAAAAACUUGUAAUAUUCUUACUACUUUGAUAAAAAAAAUAUUACGAUUAAAGUAUUAAUGGCACCAUAAUACGAAAUGAAUCUUAAGUGGUCAUUAUAGAUUUUAAGAUAGAGUUUUAAGUGAUUACCAGAUACUUUAGCUGCUGAACCGCCACAUCAUGGUUGCCACACAACAAUUUCAAACAGAACCUAAAUAACUUCAUUGCAAAACAGUUAAAUGAAUCUAACUUAGUUUCGUCGUUUGAUUUUCAGCUGUUUUUAACAAGGAAGAUGAUAUUGGAACCUACACUAUCAAAGCGGUUGAUGAUCCGAGAACCUUGAACAAAAACUUUUACAUUCAGCCUCCCGGUAAUAUUUACUCAUUCAAUGAUCUUGUGUCUCUGUGGGAGAGAAAGAUUGGUAAAACCCUCGAAAAGGAGUAUGUUUCAGAGGAGCAGCUCCUAAAGAAUAUUCAAGGUUGGUUAAAACUCUCUUUUUUAAAUGUAUUAAAGAGAGCCGUAUAUUCUCUGCCGUAAAUGUUAUUGAUCCUGUCUUCUCCAAAAUGUUGCAGAAGCUGCACCUCCACACAAUGUGAUAUUAUCAAUUUAUCACUCUGCUUUCGUGAAGGGAGUUCAAACCAACUUCAAGAUUGAACCAUCUUUUGGAGUUGAAGCCUCGCAGCUUUAUCCUGAUGUCAAGUACACUACAGUUGAUGAGUACCUCAAUCAGUUUGUGUAACCCUUCUCUGUUUCCAGCUGCAGCUUGCAGGAUCUUGGACUCUUGGUAAAUAAAUAAUUGGCUUGUUGCCAUCUUUGGUUUUAUAUGUAAAAAUUAUGGUUGUUGGCCUUACUUUCUUCUGGUUGUCCAUGGAAUUUGUUAGACCAUAUUAUGUUUGCUAUGUCAGUGAUCAAAUGAAGUAGGCCAUGUACUUGAUUUGAGAGUAGUAGUUAUAAAAAGCCAUCAUGAUCAGGUGGGUGCGUGGGUUGGGCUUCUAUUAGGGUGCGUGUGUUGGGCUUCAGGGGCUUGUGAUAUGGGUUCGACAGCCCCUAACGGGCAGUCAUUAUAAAAAUAAUUAUAGAGUUACAAAUCUAUGUAAAAAGCAAAAAUUAAAAGUAAUUUAUCAAUAAAAAUAAUUAAAAUUAAUAAAAAGUAGGUAUGAUAUUUCAGAAAUUAAAUUAAAGAUAGCAUUCUAAAGAGUUGGAUAAUCCUCCAACUAAACUAAAGAUCUAGUACAUUUGAGAGCAAAUUUAAUUAAAGAAAAGGAUAAGGAAAAACAAUAGAAUAAUAAUAUUAAAAAUUGCAAAUCUUGGUCUUUUUUUUUUACGAUGAUGUUGAUUUCUUAUAAAUUUAAUCUUAUCUAUAGAAUUAUUUAGUUACUGUAUGUCAAAAUUUCCUAUAAAGAUGAAGAAAAAUUAUAUUAGGAGAAGAUCCAAAUCCGUUUAACUGAUGCAUCAUCAACAACAUGAGUACAACAUUUUCGAAUAAACAAAAGAAACUCGUUUUAUGUGCGAACCAGUUCCAAAAUAAAGAGCAGACUAUUGGAAGGAGACAAAUACUACAAGAAGAACAAAACAUUCUACAGUUCCUACAUGAGCCCGCAACAAUUAAUUAUUAACUCGACAUUCAUUACACUUUUUCUUUAAUUUGACAAAGAAACCAAAAAUAAGAUAAAAUUGACUAAGAAAUAAAAAAAUGACCAAAAUCUUUUUGAAGUUUUGCCAGUUCAGCCAUGCACGCUUAUCUUUAUUCACUUGUUUCCUUUCUUUCCUGGAGCCUUCACAAAUCCUUUACCUUUCUGAGCCUUGCCAAUUUUCCCCUUCUUCAAACCACCUGGCCUUGCUGGAUCCACGUGUCCUUGCAUCCUUUUUCAUUCGUGGAUCAACAAGAAUCUCCCCCUUUCCAACUCUCUCUUGAACUCCUUUCUUUGCGACCAUGUAUUCUUUUGUAGGCCUUUUGGGUAUAGUUGUCUUGUAUAAUUGUUCAAUUUGAUUCCUCUUCGAACGAUCAGAGAUGUCCGCUUAGUCUAAUAUGACAUUUGCCUUCUUGCGAACCUUCUCAAGAUUUCGCAUGGCAACCCGUAUCUUUCGAGCUUUGGUCUUAGCCACCUUCUUGGCAAUAAGGGUGGGCGAUUCGGUUUUGGGAUAAACUUUUGGUUUCGUAUCGGUUUAGAUUCAAAAAUAGUAUAAAAAAAUAUUUAGAUUUUAUGGGAAAAAAUCUGAACCGAAACUGACCUAUCGAUUUCGUCUCGGUUUCAGUUUAGUUUCGAUUCUCCUAAUAGUUUUGUUUUGCCUUAUUGACUUCCGGUCAAGGACACUUUUGAAAAAUUUACAAACAAAAAAAAAUUGGCCAUAACAAAAUUUCUAUAUGUAAAUAUUUCCUAAACAUUGGGCUAUACUAAAUUUUUUUAAAAGGUAGGGAUCCAAACGAUAUUAUCCCUCUACUUCAUCUUCAACCUUCGUCACUUAGCAGCUACCACAGUAUCGAAAUGGAAAAACUAAAAAAGCACCGUAGGAUACGCAUAUCCACACAUAUCUAAUAAAACUAAAUAUUAUUAAUAAUUUAGUAUAGUAAUAAUAAAACAAGACAAACAUGAAAUUAGAAAAGACUAAAGAGCUUUUUAAGAAAAAAGCCAUUUAAAAAACGAAAAAUAGCAAGUUAUUUGGCUAGUUAACUGGCGACAGAAGUAAUGGAAAGAAGCAACAACGGCAGCGGCAGGUCAACAACGAAGAUUCAGCAGCACCGACCACCCACAGACUUGGAUUCGAUUGCAAAGUUGGGACUUAGGAUUUGGGUUUGUGGCUGCUGAAAUUGAAAGCGAGAGAGUAGAAAGUAGAGACUGAGAGUGGUGCAAACAUGUGUAAUUCUGUGUGUGUGUGUGUCUAUAUAUAUAUAUAUAUAUAUAUAUAUAUAUAUAUAUAUAUAUAUAAUGUGAAAUUAUAAAAAUGCCAUUAUAUCGGUUCGAUUCGAAUUUUGUAACUUGUGAUCCGAAAACUGAACCAAAUCGAAUCAUUUGGUUUGGUAUUUAUAUAUUCGGGUUUUUAAUUUAAAAAAAACUAAAUUAAAACUGAAAAAACCAGAACCGAAUUUUUUUUUUUUUUUUUGUUUCGGUUCAAUUCUGCCCAUCCCAACUUAGUAGGCUGGGCAUCAAUUUCUUUGAAUUGUGCUUUCAUUGCAGUAAUCUCCUCCUUGGUAAUAGGUUUAAUUGCUUACUGAUGCCUCAUUUCCUCUAGUAACAACUAGUCUAACAAGUCAUCAUCGUCAAACAUGUACCUAUUAUAAGCAUCAUCCAGAAUUUGCUCUCUUUGCAUUUUGCUUAGUGUCUUCUUUGCACAAGCUAAUAUCUCAGCUUUUUGUAUCAAUAUCUUUAUCUUUUGAUUCACCAGCGGAUGAAUCAUCACCGGAAUAGAGUGGUGAAGGCCCCAUAGAUCAGUGUGAUCAAGUUCUAGUGUAGUUUUGGUUUUGAUUUCAGUAUUAGGAAAAUGAAGCCUAUGAAAUUUACCAAGCUAACAUGCUUCACAAAAGUGCUUUAAUACUUGACUAUGAAUACUUGAAGACGAUAAAUGAGGAUAAAUAAAUUUAAGGCAAAUGUUAUGUUACAAUUAAUGUAACAUACACACUCAAUAACAACCACACAAAUUUUGUGGGCCCAUUAUUUGUGUGGUUGUUGUUGAGUGUGUAUGUUACAUUAAUUGUAACAUAGGGGCUCCCUAAAUUUAAAUAUGCAUUAGAUUUUGAGGGUUGGGAUGUCAAAACUUUUGGUGAAAAAGAGUUAGUACAAGCAUUUUUAUUGAGAUUUAAAACAUUUCUUAAGAUGAUCAAUGCUAGUUACAGAAUAGGAAUGAAAAAAAAAGGCAACAUAGACAAAGGUUUGUUUAUUUGAUUGUAAGAUAGAAAAGACUUGUAUUUAGGUUGUGGAAAGGAUUUGAGCAGCAAUUUAUACAACCUUUUCUCAGCAAAACCUUCCUCUUCAAUGAAUCCUUCACAAAACAAAUAGAUCCAAGAAAUUUGACAAAUAAAUUGUUGUCAAUGGUAAGUUUUGAAAUGCUUAAUAGAUUCUUUGUAAUGGAUGGAACAAACAAUACAUCCUUAAGUAAAAUAUGUCUUAUAUUAUCUUUUUUUUUAAUUAUUUUUAAAAAAUAAGUGAAUAAUAGUAUGUCAAUCUCAAAUAUCAAUAUGUACAAUUUUUAUUUGUGUAAGAAUUUGCAUCCAAUAAUCAUCAAUACAUAAUUGUCUUUUAAUUUAAUUGUUCUCACCUCCCUUCCAAACUUUGAAAAGGUAAAAUAAGAUCAAUCAUGUCGGUGGCAAUUAAUAUAAGGAUUACUUUUCUUAUUUGUAGUAACGUCCUCUGAUUAUUUAGCUGAUUUUCAAGCUACACAUUUAUUCCAUUUGAUGUUGAUAUUAGUAAAAUUAAUGUAAUAUUUAAAAAGGAAAAAAAUCCGUCGAGCUAAAAGCUGAGUAUAAAAUUGAACCCGACCCAAACCAGAAACGCACGCCAACAGCAUGCUUGCGUCAGUCGGCCCAAGCCCAUAAACCCACCAAGCCCAAUCCAAAUAGAAAAAUGAAUUGGAUGCCCGAGAUAGCACAAACAGAUAAGUAACGCUAGCGCUAUCCCCAGUCUCAUAUCUUCAACGGUAUCCAGCCAACAUCUCAAAGUGUUCAAUUUUUUUUUGAAGCUAAAAAAAAAAUUCAAAAUUUUCAAGUGGAAUCUGGGAAGAUGGCAACAAAAAGCAAGAUUCUGGUUAUCGGCGGAACCGGAUACAUAGGUAAGUACUUAAGGUGCGUUUGAAAUUGAAGUUGGACAGGUAUAACUUUAAAACUGCAGCACUAAAAUGUUUGGUAAACACUAACUAUUGUAACUUAAAAACUAUUUAAUAUAAUUUUUCACUUGUAUAAUAAAAAAUUUAUUAUAUCUUUAAUAAUUUUAUCAAAAUUAUUAUUUAAAAUAUAUACAUACUACAUAUUAUUAAUUUUUGUUUUAUAACUAUAAUUUUUUUCCUACCGCAACUGUAAUUUAAAAACUACAGCACCUCAAUCCCAAACAAGACUUUAGUGGAUGCGAGCGCGAAAGACGAUCACCCAACAUUUGCGCUUGUGAGAGACUCCACUCUCUCCACUCCUUCCAAAUCCAAAAUCCUCGACCGUUUCAAAAAUCUCGGCGUCAAUUUAGUUCCUGUGCGCCACUCUUUUAGCUUUCCAUUUUUCCUGCCAAUUUUCUUUUAUUGUGAUUAAUUAAUUAAUGUAAAGAUUUUAUAUUAUAAUUUUGUUUUCAGGGAGAUCUAUACAGCCAUGAGAGCUUGGUGAGUGCAAUAAAGCAAGUGGAUGUGGUGAUAUCAGCGAUAGGUCGCACUCAAUUAGCUGAUCAACUCAACAUUAUCGCAGCAAAUUGCGAUAACUAAUUACUUGGGAUUUUAAAGAAGCUGGAAAUGUUAAGGUACUGAUUAACUUAAGUAAAUGCGUUAACUAAUUACUUGGGAUUUUAAAUUCAAAUGCGUGAAUUGUUCUAAAAAAUGAUUUAUGUUUAUUAGUCAGAGAUUCUUUCCUUCAGAAUUUGGAAAUGAUGUUGAUCGCGUGCAUGCCGUUGAGCCAGCAAGAACAUCAUUUGCCACCAAGGCUAAAAUCCGCCGAGCUGUUGAGGCUGAAGGAAUUCCAUACACCUACGUAGCUUCCAAUUUCUUCGCUGGUUUGUAUCUUUCCAGUUUCUCACAGCCUGGAGCCGCAGCUCCUCCAAGGGAUAAAGUGGUCAUCGUAGGUGAUGGAAAUGCAAAAGGCAAAGCGCUUCUGGAUACAUUUACUCUGUACACGCAGUGUGUGGUUACUGUUUAGGGAUAAAAAAGGAGAUUAAUUAAUAAAGAAAAUGAAAUUAUUGAGGGAUUUGCUGAAGAGUUGCGUGCACUCCUCAUUUUUCUCCACCACUCAUCUUACUUGCAAAAUGCAAUGACCAAACUAUCCUCGCCAAAGCCUAGACAUUUGCUUGUGUUCAAAGGCCAUUUAAGGGAGACAAGUACAAAAAAUUAUAAAGGAUAGUGAGCAAAAGAAGAAAAUGGAAGGGGGAGAGUAAAAAAGGGGAGUGGGGCGUUAUCCAGGGAGGAUUUUUAUUUUUAUUUUUUUCCUCUCUUCUCCAUGGCAUCUCUUUCUCUCUUUCUCCCACUAAGAAAUUCUUUCUUUUACACUCUAUUUUACUUUUCUACAAAUUACACAAAAAGCUUUUGGUUUUAAGGCAAUGUUUAUUAAGCCACAUGAACUUGAAAAAGCAUGAAUAAGGGGAUGAUUUUAACACAUUAAUUCACCAACAUUAAUUGGAAAAGAUCAGUUGCCACUUCGAAUCAGAGUAAUUUCUUCGGCAAUAGCCAAAUAUUGAUAUUUGAUCUUGACACUGUAGUUAAAUGAAUGUAACUGGUUUUGUCAUUUGAUCCCCAGCAUUUUUUUAACAAGGAAGACGAUAUUGGAAUCAAUUCUAUCAAAGCGGUGGAUGAUCCAAGAACACUGAACAAAAUACUUUACAUCAGACCCCGUUGCAGUAUCUACUCAUUCAAUGAUCUUGUGUCUCUGUGGGAGGAAAAGAUUGGCAAAGCCCUUGACAGGGUCUAUGUUACAGAGGAACAACUUCUGAAAAACAUUCAAGGUUAGUUAGAACUAUCACUUUAUUCGUUACUGAUGACAACACAUGGAGAAAUUUUCCUUGGUCUUAUCAAGUGGAUAGAUGUAACUGACCGAUAAUGGAAAAUUUUUUCCUUCUCCAAAAUGCGAUAGAAUCUAAUCGGUUUCAACAAUCUCAAGAACAUCUAUUCAUGGUUGUGUUGUUUGAAAUCUGUAUGUAUCAGUUUUCUUUCUAGAUCUCAGAUUGCUCGCAAGGAUGUCAAGUUUUGAUGAUGCUUGCCUGUUUUCCUGUGUUUACAGAAGGCUCAUAUCCACUCAAUAUGAUAUUAUCUAUUGGGCACUCUGCCUAUGUCCUGGGAGAUUAGACCAACUUCGAAAUUGAACCUUCAUUUGGAGUAGAGGCAACCGAGCUUUGUCCAGAUGUCAACUACACUACUGUGGAUGAGUACCUCAACCAGUUCAUAUAAACCUUCUGAGAUGAGCAGCAGGAUCCUAACCAAAAAUUGGGUGGUUUCCAUCCCUGAUUCUAUGGUAUAAAGAUAGCGGCUUUCCAUGCUUUUGCCAGUUCAAUGAAGUUUGUUAGAUGAUGUUAUUUAUACUAUACUAGCAAAGAUCAAGUUGCCUUUCUUGUCAAGAAGCCAAGCUCUGGCAUUGGUUUAUGCUAGUUUUUCACACUAAUAUUGGUAUUCACUAAUUUUUUUUUUUUCAUUUCACACCUCCAUCAUCAGUUGAGAUACCCUCUUGUAUGGUACUAACUUUGAUUUUCCUUAUGCUUCACUUGCUGUCUCUGCAGAUUCGUAAAAGAUCAUUCAUGGAUAAGAUCAGAACAUCAAUGUAAUACAGUAUGCAUUGAGAACUCCCACAUGAGUCUUGUUCUAGUUCUCGUUAGACAUGAAACAUGUUACAGUUCCAUAACUUGAGACAUUGUCAUUCAACAAUUAUCAUCGCAUUAAAACAGUGGCCAAUCCCUAACAGCUACCUUUUGACUCUUCACAUUUUUUUUCUGCAUUUUAUGCGCAUUAAUUAUCCAGACCUAGACUUACUCUUCUCAGCUUGGCCCGUUGGACAGUGAGUGAUGAAACAGAAAAUUUUUCAUGUUUAUGAAUGUAUGAAGUAUCUCUUCUGCACUGCACCGGCAUCCUCCUUAACUGUCAGUAGGAUCACAAUAAGUCGACCAACCAUCUACCGUAUGGAUUAUCUAUAAAUUGAAAUUGGUGUGUAUUAUGGAUCUGUCACUCUGCUGCUUCUGUUUUCUUUUCUAUUUUUACCAAGAAAGAAACAUUGUUAAAACUGAAUGGUUGUUAUCUCGUCUUGUUGUAAUGUUGUGUAUGCUUUCUAGAAAAUAAUGAAGUGCCAAAUAUGAAAAUACUAGUGGCUACCUUACCAUCCUUAAUAAGUUGUCUGAUUGUCACCGUCAACAAUCACUCUCAGAAACUCAUAAUCCAUUUAAGCAUAUUAUAAAAUAAUCAAUUUUGUAUUUGCACCAACUUUUAGUUUUAAAUGACAAUUUCGUUGAUCCCCUCACACUUCUGUACUAAUCAAAUCCACUGAAACUGGACUUUUUUUUUUUUUUUUUUAUAAUUACAUCGAUUGCAAUGGCUAUUGCAGGGAAAAGACAGCCUCUACAGGGAACUAAACUUUCAGAAUUGAUCUUAUGAGGGUUUGAAUAUGCUCUCGUACUAGGUCAAUGGCCUAUUGGUUCGAGACCAUUCACAAAGAAAGAAAUGAGUUUUGCUUGUAUAAAUGAAAGAAAUCCAAAUGAUAACUAAUGUAUAGUGGUACAUGAGAAAAAUAAUUUCAGCCCCUGUGUAAAGUCAAAAAGAGAAAAUAUUAAAAGAAAGGAUAAUGUCAUUGAGUUCGGUGAAGUGAAAGAAAAUAAAAAACAUGGGAUUUAGUCAAACUUAGUGUCCCAAUCAGCAGAAAAAGGUUUUAGAAACUCACCUCAAGUUAAGCCAACUAUUAGGAGCUUUAUUUAAUCAUGGCUUUCUAAUGUAUAGUACUCCAAUACUAAACGAGGGCUACCUCUACGCUUGCAAAUGUAAAUGAAAUUGAGUUCGUGACGCACAAUGAAGUGAGCAAAAUGAGUUGAGAUCUGAGAAUAUAUUAAAGAAAAUAUGAAUCAAUGAAUUUUGGUUAAAAAAAACAAAUGCUGGUUCUUCAAGACCUGCGUGUAUUGUGUAAGUUUUGUUAGGAGAAGGAAAGCAUUUUGGUCUAAAACGCACUAAAUCGGAUUCAUUUGCUUGAUAUCUAAUAAGGGUGAAUUAACCACUCGCCCACAGCAAUUCAAGUACCCAAAAAAGUUUUGUGGGGGCUAAAUUUCUUCUUUAAUUAUAACAAAUAAUUGAGCGGAGGAUAAAAAUUUAGGCCAUGUAUAACAAUAACUAAUAUAAACUAGUCCUAAUAAUAGUAUAAUUGUAAAUAUCAGUUGUAGUCUCAUACAAUAUAAGUUUAUAGAUUAUAAUAUCGGCAUAAAAAGAAAAAUGAUAUCUGACGGUCAAUCAAUAAAAGGACAAAAACUUGGAGUAACAUACCACAAAGUCAAUGUAGCUGGACAGUGAAUAUAAUAUGUAAACAAAUUUAAAUGGGAUAAUACCAUACGGUACAUACAUAACAUUUUAAAACUGAAUUAAAAAAAUAAAAUUAAAACUGAAUUGGAAUUCGUAUGUGUAUCCAGCUACCUUGCCACAGUUGUAAGGUACCCUAACUUUGCAACAAUUUCAUCCUUCGUGCAUUCGGUCACAAAGUCCAAAUUAGGCACGUUUAAGAAUCGAACUGAAAAACUAAAAAAAAGAAUCCGGCGAUAUUUGCGAACCGGAAACGAGCCAGCGUUAUGCUUAUGUCAUUUCAGAGAUAUCAACAGUCGUGCUUUCAGUCCUUAAACCUCAAGGGCAUUUUCGUCCUUUCACUCAAGCGUGAAACUGCAUGUAAGAACUGCUUCGCUUACACGCUCCAUGCACAUUUAAAGGCACCACUGUCGGAUAAAAAAUAUCCAUCCAUUUGAUCAUUUCAAAACAAAACGAAAAAAAAAAUCUCAGUAAUUGAACUGAACGAGUCUCAGAAAUGGCAUCGAAAAGUAAGAUUCUAUUCAUCGGCGGGACAGGGUAUAUCGGUAAAUCCACUGUCGAAGCGAGCGUAAAAGCCGGCCACCCGACGUUCGUGCUCGUGAGAGAAUCCACAAUCUCUGGUCCUUCCAAAUCUCAACUCCUCGAUCACUUCAAAAACCUCGGCGUCAAUCUCGUCAUAGUGCGUUUUCAUUUUUCUCUUUUCUUAAUUUUUUAUUCCGAUCAUUUUUACACGUCGAAGUGUAGCAUCUACUACUUAAUAUACAUAAUGAUAUUAUUAUUUUUUAAUUUUUUUGGGUUGCUGUUAUUAUUAUGCAGGGAGAUGUGUUGAAUCACGAGAGUUUGGUGAAGGCGAUUAAACAAGUGGACGUGGUGAUAUCAACGGUCGGUCACACUUUAUUAGCUGAUCAGGUCAAGAUUAUUGCUGCCAUUAAAGAAGCCGGUAACGUUAAGGUAUAACAUAAUUAAUGUAAAUGUCUUAGAUUCCGAUCAGGAUUGUGCACUCGCGAACACGUGGUGAUUUAUUCUUGGUGUGGAGCUCGCUGUAGAGUAGAGCUCCCAGUUCAGCUAAUAAACACCCCGUCACAUGCGCAAUUGCGCCUCAAAAUAAUUUAAUUGAUUAAUUAAGGAUAAAUACCAAUGGCAUGAAAGCAAUUAAAAUUAGUUGAUGUUUAUAAAUUAUUUAUUACUCAGAGAUUCUUACCAUCGGAAUUUGGAAAUGAUGUUGAUCGAGUUGAAGGCGCCGUAGAGCCAACAAAAUCGACGUAUGACGUAAAGGCGAAAAUCCGCCGAGCCGUUGAGGCAGAAGGCAUUCCGUACACUUACGUAGAAUCUUAUUGUUUUGAUGGCUAUUUCCUCCCCAAUUUGUUGCAGCCUGAGGCCACUGCCCCCCUAGGGAUAAGGUUGUCAUCUUAGGCGAUGGAAAUCCAAAAGGUAAUAUAAUUUAAUUAAGCUCUGUUUGUUUGGUAUGUAUUUCGGUGUUAAUGUUAUUGUCUGUUGUACAAUGGAUGGUCUUGCUUGGUACUGUUGUUGGAGAGCUGCAGUGUUUUGAUAAACACCUCUAUCCUUAGCUUUCAAGUUAAGUUGAUUUUAUACAACACUUGUUUAAUUCAAAACUUGUAAUAUUCUUACUACUUUGAUAAAAAAUAUUACGAUUAAAGCAUUAAUGGCACCAUAAUACGAAAUGAACCUUAAGUGGUCAUUAUAGAUUUUAAGAUAGAGUUUUAAGUGAUUACCAGAUACUUUAGCUGCUGAACCGCCACAUCAUGGUUGCCACACAACAAUUUCAAACAGAGCCUAAAUAACUUCAUUGCAAAACAGUUAAAUGAAUCUAACUUAGUUUCGUCGUUUGAUUUUCAGCUGUUUUUAACAAGGAAGAUGAUAUUGGAACCUACACUAUCAAAGCGGUUGAUGAUCCGAGAACCUUGAACAAAAACUUUUACAUUCAGCCUCCCGGUAAUAUUUACUCAUUCAAUGAUCUUGUGUCUCUGUGGGAGAGAAAGAUUGGUAAAACCCUCGAAAAGGAGUAUGUUUCAGAGGAGCAGCUCCUAAAGAAUAUUCAAGGUUGGUUAAAACUCUCUUUUUUUAAAUGUAUUAAAGAGAGCCGUAUAUUCUCUGCCGUAAAUGUUAUUGAUCCUGUCUUCUCCAAAAUGUUGCAGAAGCUGCACCUCCACACAAUGUGAUAUUAUCAAUUUAUCACUCUGCUUUCGUGAAGGGAGUUCAAACCAACUUCAAGAUUGAACCAUCUUUUGGAGUUGAAGCCUCGCAGCUUUAUCCUGAUGUCAAGUACACUACAGUUGAUGAGUACCUCAAUCAGUUUGUGUAACCCUUCUCUGUUUCCAGCUGCAGCUUGCAGGAUCUUGGACUGUUGGUAAAUAAAUAAUUGGCUUGUUGCCAUCUUUGGUUUUAUAUGUAAAAAUUAUGGUUGUUGGCCUUACUUUCUUCUGGUUGUCCAUGGAAUUUGUUAGACCAUAUUUUGUUUGCUAUGUCAGUGAUCAAAUGAAGUAGGCCAUGUACUUGAUUUGAGAGUAGUAGUUAUAAAGCCAUCAUGAUCAGGUGGGUGCGUGGGUUGGGCUUCUAUUAGGGUGCGUGUGUUGGGCUUCAGGGGCUUGUGAUAUGGGUUCGACAGCCCCUAACGGGCAGUCAUUAUAAAAAUAAUUAUAGAGUUACAAAUCUAUGUAAAAAGCAAAAAUUAAAAGUAAUUUAUCAAUAAAAAUAAUUAAAAUUAAUAAAAAGUAGGUAUGAUAUUUCAGAAAUCAAAUUAAAGAUAGCAUUCUAAAGAGUCGGAUAAUCCUCCAACUAAACUAAAGAUCUAGUACAUUUGAGAGCAAAUUUAAUUAAAGAAAAGGAUAAGGAAAAACAAUAGAAUAAUAAUAUUAAAAAUUGCAAAUCUUGGUCUUUUUUUUUUACGAUGAUGUUGAAUUCUUAUAAAUUUAAUCUUAUCUAUAGAAUUAUUUAGUUACUGUAUGUCAAAAUUUCCUAUAAAGAUGAAGAAAAAUUAUAUUAGGAGAAGAUCCAAAUCCGUUUAACUGAUGCAUCAUCGACAACAUGAGUACAACAUUUUUGAAUAAACAAAAGAAACUCGUUUUAUGUGCGAACCAGUUCCAAAAUAAAGAGCAGACUAUUGGAAGGAGACAAAUACUACAAGAAGAACAAAACAUUCUACAGUUCCUACAUGAGCCCGCAACAAUUCAUUAUUAACUCGACAUUCAUUACACUUUUUCUUUAAUUUGACAAAGAAACCAAAAAUAAGAUAAAAUUGACUAAGAAAUAAAAAAAUGACCGAAAUCUUUUUGAAGUUUUGCCAGUUCAGCCAUGCACGCUUAUCUUUAUUCACUUGUUUCCUUUCUUUCCUUUCUUUGCUGAAGCCUUCACAGAUCCUUUACCUUUCUGAGCCUUGCCAAUUUUCCCCUUCUUCAAACCACCUGGCCUUGCUGGAUCCACGUGUCCUUGCAUCCUUUUUCAUUCGUGGAUCAACAAGAAUCUUCCCCUUUCCAGCUCUCUCUUGAACUCCUUUCUUUGGGACCAGUAUUCUUUUGUCGGCCUUUUGGGUAUAGUUGUCUUGUAUAAUUGUUCAAUUUGAUUCCUCUUCGAACGAUCAGAGAUGUCCGCUUAGUCUGAUAUGACAUUUGCCUUCUUGCGAACCUUCUCAAGAUUUCGCAUGGCAACCCGUAUCUUUCGAGCUUUGGUCUUAGCCACCUUCUUGGCAGUAUGGGUGGGCGAUUCGGUUUUGGGAUAAACUUUUGGUUUCGUAUCGGUUUAGAUUAAAAAAUAAUAUAAAAAAAUAUUUAGAUUUUAAGAGAAAAAAUCCGAACCGAGACUCACCUAUCGAUUUCGGCUCGGUUUCAGUUCAGUUUUGAUUCUCCUAAUAGUUUUAUUUUGCCUUAUUGACUUCCGGUCAAUGACACUUUUGAAAAAUUUACCAAAAAAAAAAAAAAUGGCCAUAACAAAAUUUCUAUAUGCAAAUAUUUCCUAAACAUUAGGCUAUACUAAAUUUUUUUAAAAGGUAGGGACCCAAACGAUAUUAUCCCUCUACUUCAUCUUCAACCUUCGUCAUUAGGGAUGGCAAAAUCCGAGUUCGGGUCCGGGUUUAGCCAUUUGGGAUCCGGACCCGGAUGAAUAUUUUUUGUACCAGACCCGAAAAUAAACCCGCAUUUUUCCACUUCGAGUCCGGUACGGGUUCAACCCGAAAAAAUUCGGGUUCCCUGACUGCGGGUUUCCAACUCGGAUUAAUGAAUCCAAUUGAAAAAAAAAAACUAAAUUCAACAAAAAAAAUCAAAUAGAAAUACAUAUCCAGGAUUUCAGCAAAUCAAAGAAAAAUUAUUUCAUCUGGAAACUAAUUAACAAAAACAACAAUUUUGUUUGGCUGCCCAGAAUCAGCAACCCAAUGUGGCGGCUCGUUCAAAACAUUAGUGUUUUCAACAGAUUUUGGGGUAGGAAAAGCCAAACCUAUCUAGAACAAUGAAUUUGUAUUUUUGGGGGAGAUGAGGUACCUCACUGGUUUGUUGUGUGCGGUGCAGUGUAUCUUAAAUUUGGGGGAUGUGAGAAGGGGAGAGGGAGUGGUAAUAAUGGUGAAAGGUCAAAACCAAUAGAGAUGUCCUUCAAAAUGAGCUUCACACCUGUAAAACAGUGAAAUAAAGGUUAGAGGUGAAGCUGGGGUAUCCCGGUGUUCACACUCCGACGCUCAAGUUAGCAAACUCAAGCUUUUAUGACAAAGAGAACUGGCUAGCCCUCUGUAAAUUAGGGUUUAAGGUUCAAGGAAACCUAUUUUUUGGAAUGUGAGUGUUAAUGGUGAGUGAGAGACCUCUUGGAGAAUGAAACCUAUGCGCCUUUAUAUAUGGAGUACCUCAGCUGCCACGUGACGUACCCUUUUUGGCUAACGUCAUUUUUCAUUUUUAUGAUUUUUGGGUCGUUAUGUUCAUGUUCGCGGGGUAUCUCAUCUUUUAGAAACGUGGCGCGCGCUGGAGAGUGGUCCAGGGUACCUCUGCAGUAGCUGUCGGGUAGGCGGCUGAGGACCACUGUCCUUGGGACAGUGUCUUUCACUUUUGGUAAAGGUGACAGGCGGUUGUCCUCCCUUUUAACACGACAUUUUUUAUUCCUAAUUAUGACAAAAUCGAAUAAUAUCUUUUAAGAGAUGGAGACGUUUCUCAUGGUGGAUAUUUUCGGAAGAUUCUCUUGCAUCUGAUCAGCCGGGUUCCUCCAGUUACGCAGGGUACCUCAAUUUAUGUGGGGUACCUCUAAUUUUAUGGGGUACCACUAUUUGCGCAGGGUACCUUGAAUCAUGCCAAGUACCUUAGAUUAUGCGGAGUACCUCUAAUUGUGCGGGAUACCUCUAUUGCGCUAGGUACCUUGAAUCAUGCCGGGUACCUCAGAUUGUGCGGGGUAUCUCUAUUUGCGCAGGGUACCUUGAAUCAUGCUGGGCACCUCAGAUUGUGUGGGGUACCUUGAGUCAUGCGAGGUACCUCUAAUCAGGCCAGGUACCCUCUAAUUGUGCUGAGUACCUAUAAUCAUGCAGGGUACCUCUAAUCAAGCCGGGUACCUUUAAUCAUGCGGGGUACCUCUAAUCAGGCCGGGUACCUUAGAUUGUGCGGGGUACCUCUAUUUGCGCAGGGUACCUUGAAUCAUGCAGGGUAUCUCAGAUUGUGCGGGGUACCUCAAAUUGUGUGGGGUACUUCUAAUCGUGCGGGGUACCUCUAAUCAUGUCGGGUACCUCGGAUUGCACUGAAGUUAUUCCAUUCGUUGACACGUGGCGUUAUGCUAUCUUUCUUAUUUUUCCCCCAAACAACAUCCCUCUAGUUUCUUUUGGCAAGAAGUUUUGGAGGCAAAAGAAACUUACAUAAAAAGUAGAAGCGACACGUGGCGAUAUGAUGUUUAGCUCGAUGGGUAACUAAAUAGAGGGCGCCUUUAGGGGUACCCUGAGAACCCAAAAAGGGAAGAUGGGCUCCAUUUCCUCGGAAAUGGCUACCACUUUGGACAUGUUGGAAAGGAUAGAGCUAAUUGAUCAAAAAAAUUUCAUCUAUUUCUAGGGAAGAACACCAAAUACGGGUAGAGGGUAUCGUUAGGGUACCCCACCAUUACCCAUAGUUUGUUUUCUAGUGACUGCCAUGUAUAAAUCGCUCUGGUGAAGGCUUCAAUACAUUCUUUGGGCAUUUAAGAAGCAAUUAUUUGAUUAUCUCGGGAUCCACCUUAUUUAAGGGUAUAUUUCCUUCAUGUACUUUGAAGACAAAAAUAAAAUCACAGGGCUUUCUUCCUUGUAACUUCAGAGGUACCCUCGACAGAAGAAUAUAGUCAACAAUGCUUUUAAGCGUAUCAUGAUCGAGGAAUGGAGUGCUGAUCUGGGGUUGGUGGUGCCAAGAGUGGAGAAGAUGGUAGAUGAACCGGCUAUCUUGAAGGCGAUUAACGAUAGCGGGGCUCUCAACACAUCUUGGUCUGAAGGGGUAAUGCAAAUAAGUUUACGUUGAUUGGAUAUUCAGAAGAAGUAAUACGCCAUUAAAAGCAACAAGUUUUCCAAAAAGCCAACAAAGACAGACACCACCACACCACCCCGCGCUGGAUGAAAAACGAUGAAAGCAUGAUAAGUGACAUCGAGUAAGCCACGUUCUCUCUCUCUCUCUCACUCGCACUCGCACUCGCACUCGCACUCGCACUCGCACACACUGUUACUAAAAUAACCAAAAAUAAGAUUCCCAUCAAAAUAUUUUCAAGUAUCGUUCUUGAAAGUGGCGGCGGCUGAUGAUGAUGAACACAGCCGCGAUUGCGAUUGGCGAAGGCGGCGUUCAGCCCGUAUCACAGCUAGUUAUCGGUCGUGGCAGAAAAGAUAAUGAAACGACGGCUGAUGAUGAUAAUGAUGAUGUUGAACAGCCGCAAAUAUGGGUAAGUGAUGCGACGAUGAUUUGAUGAAGAUGAAGAUGAGCUGAAGAUGGAAUAAGAGUGGAAAUGUUUGUGCGGCUGGGAAAGUGUAAUGAGCUGCUAGGGCACCAUUUGGGUUUUUUUGCUUUCCUAUUUAUAUUAAAAAUAAUUUUUAAAAAUUAAUAUAUAUCCGGGUUCGGGUUUUGGAUGUACGGGUUUACCUAGACCCGGACACAUGCGGAUUCAGCAGCACCGACCACCCACAGACUUGGAUUCGAUUGCAAAGUUGGGACUUAGGAUUUGGGUUUGUGGCUGCUGAAACAGAAAGUGAGAGAGUAGAAAGUAGAGACUAAGAGUGGUGCAAACAUGUGUAAUUUUGUGUGUGUGUCUAUAUAUAUAUAUAUAAUGUGAAAUUACAAAAAUGCCAUUAUAUCAGUUCAAUUCGAAUUUUGUAACUUGUGAUCCAAAAACUGAACCAAACCGAACCAUUUGGUUUGGUUUUUAUAUAUUCAGGUUUUUAAUUUAAAAAAACUAAAUUGAAAUUGAAAGAACUAAACCGAACCGAAUUUUUUUUUUUUUUUUGUUUCGGUUCAAUUAUGCCCAUCCCUACUUAGUAGGCUGGGCAUUAAUUUCUUUGAAUUGUGCUUUCAUUGCAGUAAUCUCCUCCUUGGUAAUAGGUUUAAUUGCUUGUUGAUGCCUCAUUUCCUCUAGUAACAACUAGUCUAACAAGCCAUCAUCGUCAAACAUGUACCUAUUAUAAGCAUCAUCCAGAAUUUGCUCUCUUUGCUUUUUGCUUAGUGUCUUCUUUGCACAAGCUAUUAUCUCAGCUUUUGUAUGAAUAUCUUUAUCUUUUGAUUCACCAGAGGAUGAAUCAUCACCGGAAUAGAGUGGUGAAGGCCCCAUAGAUUAGUGUGAUCAAGUUCUAGUGUAGUUUUGGUUUUGAUUUCAGUAUUAGGAAAAUGAAGCCUAUGAAAUUUACUAAGCUAACAUGCUUCACAAAAGUGCUUUAAUACUUGAAGAGGAUAAAUGAGGAUAAAUAAAUUUAAAUAUACAUUAGAUUUUGAGGGUUGGGAUGUCAAAACUUUUGGUGAAAAAGAGUUAGUACAAGCAUUUUUAUUGAGAUUGAAAAUAUUUCUUAAGAUGAUCAAUACUAGUUACAAAAUUGGAAUGAAAAAAAAAGGCAACAUAGACAAAGGUUUGUUUAUUUGAUUGUAAGAUAGAAAAGACUUGUAUUUAAGUUGUGGAAAGGAUUUGAGCAGCAAUUUAUACAACCUUUUCUCAGCAAAACCUUCCUCUUCAAUGAAUCCUUCACAAAACAAAUAGAUCCAAGAAAUUCGACAAAUAAAUUGUUGUCAAUGGUAAGUUUUGAAAUGCUCAAUAGAUUCUUUGUAAUGGAUGGAACAAACAGUACAUCCUUAAGUAAAAUAUGUCUUAUAUUAUCUUUUUUUAAUUCUUUUUUAAAAAAUAAGUGAAUAAUAGUAUGUCAAUCUCAAAUAUCAAUAUGUACAAUUUUUAUUUGUGUAAGAAUUUGCAUCCAAUAAUCAUCAAUACAUAAUUGUCUUUUAAUUGAAUGGUUCUCACCUCCCUUCCAAACUUUGAAAAGGUAAAAUAAGAUCAAUCAUGUCAGUGGCAAUUAAUAUAAAGAUUACUUUUCUUAUUUGUAGUAACGUCCUCUGAUUAUUUAGCUGAUUUUCAAGCUACACAUUUAUUCCAUUUGAUGUUGAUAUUAGUAAAAUUAAUGUAAUAUUUAAAAAGGAAAAAAAUCCGUCGAGCUAAAAGCCGAGUAUAAAAUUGAACCGGACCCAAACCAGAAACGCACGCCAACAACAUGCUUGCGUUAGUCGGCCCAUGCCCAUAAACCCACCAAGCCCGAUCCAAAUAGAAAAAUGAAUUGGACACCCGAGAUAGCAGAAACAGAUAAGUAACGGUCGUGUUAUCCCCAAUCUCAUAUCUUCAACGGUAUCCAGCCAACAUCUCAAAGUGUUCAAUUUUUUUUUAAGCCAAAAAAAAAUUCAAAAUUUUCAAGCGGAAUCUGGGAAGAUGGCGAUGAAAAGCAAGAUUCUGGUUAUCGGCGGAACCGGAUACAUCGGUAAGUACUUAAGGUGCGUUUGAAAUUGAGGUUGAACAACUAUAACUUUAAAACUACAGCACUAAAAUAUUUGGUAAACACUAACUGUUGUAACUUAAAAGCUAUUUAAUAUAAUUUUUCACUUGUAUAAUAAAAAAUUUAUUAUCUUUAAUAAUUUUGUCAAAAUUAUUAUUUAAAAUAUAUACAGUAAGAGAGAUUGUAACAUUUUCAAUCUUUGGUUUGAUAUUCUGGAAGAAAACGGUUUGCCGUUUACGGAGAAAAUGGCUAACCGUUUAAUUUCAGAGAGCAUGUUUUCUAUUCUAGAGAAAACGACUAACCGUUUGGAGAAAAUGGCUAACCGUUUGGAGAAAACGGCUAACCGUUUUGAGAAAACGGCUAACCGUUUAAUUCCAGAGAGCAUGUUUUCUGUUCUAAAGAAAAUAACUAACCGUUUGGAUAAAACAACCAACCAUUAAUUACAGAGAGUAACUUAUUUGACAUUCUGGAAUAAAACGGCUCACCGUUAUUGAGAAAAUGGCUAACCGUUUAUUUCCAGAGAGCGUGUUUUUGCGUCAACUGGAAAAACGGUUAGCAAGCUUGGAAAUUUCAAUUGUCAAUCGAUGCAAACUCAAACCAAAAGAGUGUUUUUUAAAGAAGUACCAUUUUUAAUGGUUGUAUUCUUUCAAAUAAACAUCUUCUUUAUUAAAGAUAAACAAACUAUUAUAUCAUAAUCAGAUUUUGCAGGUUUCAUAUAUGUUCUGGAAAUACAAUCUUAUUUUCUAGAGAUUGUAUUCAGGAUUUGAUAUAUCUUAGGGGUAAUUUGCCAUUAAAACUCUAUAGCAAACCAAGAUUGGUGAGGGCAAAUAAAACCUUAAAGAAAAGUGUGCAAACACGUCUCAAAUCCUAAGAAAUUUUCUUUGUUCUUUGCCUCCAUAUUCUUAAAAUUUGAAAAUUCACCCAUCAAUCUUUAAGGUUUUAUUUUGAUGCAAAUAGAGGCUGAGAAGAGUUUGACGCCAUUUCUUAAUCCUAGUGUCCAUCUCGAUCGUUUUGAUGGAACAAAUUUCACUCGUUGGAAGGGAAAAUUGUUCUUUCUUCUUACUGUUCUUAAAGUGACAUAUGUUCUUGAUCCGAAAUUGGAACCAUUUCCAGAACCAAGAGAAGAUGAUACCGAAGUUGUUAAGGCUGCAAGGAAACGUCGUGAAGAUGAUGAAUUGAUGUGCCGGGGUCACAUACUCAAUACGCGUUCUGACAGGUUAUAUGAUCUCUACAAUUUUAUGACUUCUCCGGUGGAAAUUUGGAAUGCUCUUAAGUACAAAUACAAAACGGAGAAAGAAGGUACUGACAAAUUCCUUGUCUCUAAAUAUUUUGAAUUUAUUAUGAUAGACACACAAUCCAUUCUUGAUCAAAUACAUGAGUUAUAAAUUAUUGUUGCUAAGCUUCGAGAGUUAAAAGUUGAAAUUUUUGAAUCAUUUCAAGUUGGGACUAUUAUUGCUAAAUUGCCUCAAAGUUGGAAUGAUUAUAGAAAGAAACUCCUUCAUAGUAAAGAGAACAUAACUUUAGAAGAAUUGCAAAAACACUUGAUAAUUGAAGAAGAGACUAGGUCUCGCGAAUCCAAGGAUAAGCAUGAUUCUACUAAAGUUAAUGUUCUUGAAGCUAGUAAAUUCUCAAAGAAUUUUAAAGUCAAGAAUGACAAGAAAUUUAAGAAGUCCAGCACACAAAAGUUUUCUGGAAAUUGUUUCUUUUGUGGUAAGAAAGGUCAUCGCCAAAGUGAUUGCAGAUUCAAGAAAAAAAAAAGGAAGAAGUGGAUUCCUAUAAAGCUAAUGUUAUUGAAAACAAAUCUGAAAAGAUUUGUGCUAUGGUUUCUGAAAUGCAAAUUGGCAUGAUUAUCGAAACCAAUAUGGCUGAAACUAAGUCCUAUGAUUGGUGGCUCGAUUCGGGUACAACAAUUCAUGUUUGUAAUGAUAAGAAAUUUUUAUUAUCAUACAAAGAAGAAACGGAAGGACAAAUGGUUCUCAUGGGGAACAAUAAUGCAGCCAUAGUAGCAGGGAAAUGAGUAGUUGAGAUCAACUUCACUUCUAGAAAGAAAGUCACAUUGUAUAAUGUCUUUCAUGUACCUUUCGUUAGGAAGAAUCUUAUUUCUGCUAGUUGUAUGUGUAAGCAUGGGCUUAAGAUUGUGCUUGAGGGUAAUACUUGUAUUAUCUCAAAGAAUGAAUUAUUUGUUGGGAAAUGGUAUUCUUGUGAUGGAAUGUACAAACUCAACAUUAAUAAUAAUAAUAUCAACUUAGCUUAUAUUGUUGAGUCUUGUGAUGUUUGGCAUGCUAAAUUAGCACAUUUGAAUUUUAGAUCUUUGAAAUACAUGUCUGAGCAUGGUUUGAUUAAUUGCAAUGAUGUUAAAGGUCAUAAGUGUGAAAUCUGCAUCCAAGCUAAAUUAACUAAGAAACAUUUUCUUAAAGCCGAACGAAAUACUCAAAUAUUGGACUUAAUAUAUACCGAUAUUUGUGAGUAUAAUGGCGUUUUAACAAGAGGAGGUAAGAAGUACUUUAUCACUUUUAUUGAUGAUUGUUCUAGAUACACUUAUGUGUAUUUACUUAGAACAAAAAAUGAAGCUUUUGAUAAAUUUAAAAUUUUCAAAGCUGAAGUUGAGAACUAAAAAGAUAAGAAAAUCAAAAUGGUUCGUAGUGAUAGAGGUGGUGAAUAUUUCUCAAUUGAAUUUAAUAAUUAUUGUGAAGAAUUUGGAAUUAUUCACCAAAGAUCAGCUCCAUUUACUCCUCAACAAAGUGGUUUGGCUAAAAGAAAGAAUAAGAUCUUCACAGAUAUGAUAAAUUCCAUGAUCCUUAAUGCAAAACUACCAAAUAAUUUGUGGGGGGAAGCAUUACUCACUGCAUGUCAUAUUCAUAACAGAAUUACAUAUUUGAAAACACAUAUAUCUCUUUAUGAAAUUUGGAAAGGAAGAAAACCAAACUUGAUGUAUUUAAGGGUCUAGGGUUGUUUAGCUUUUUAUAAAAUACAUGAUCCUAAAUCAUCAAAGUUAUGUGCUAGAUGUAUAAAGAGUGUUUUCGUAGGAUAUGCUGAAAAUUCCAAGGCUUAUAGGUUGUUAGAUUUAGAUUAUAAUGUGAUUGUGGAAUCUAGAGAUGUUGAAUUUAUUGAGAAUAAAUUUCAACAUGAUUCUAAUAUUGAAUUAGAAUCAAUUAUUGAUCAACCAUGUGUUAAUACUCCUGUUACCUCCACUAACAAUAAUAAAAGGAAAGACUCUAUGACAUCUUUCGAACCAAUGAGGAGUCAAGGUGAAAAGAAAGAAAAGAGUUUAGCUCCGAAUUUUAUUUCAUCACAAGCACUACUCUUCUUGGUUGAAGGGGAUAGAAAGAAUGUACUUAACAAAGUACCAUUGUUGUUAAAUAUUGAAAAAGAUCCAAAGACAUUUAGCGAAGCUAUGUCUUCUAGAGACGCUUCUUUUUGGAGAGAGGCGGUAAAUGAUGAAAUUGAUUCGAUUAUUUCGAAUCAAACAUGGGUCUUGGUUGAUCUUCCUCCAGGAUCUAAACCAAUUAGCAGCAAAUGGGUAUUUAGAAGAAAGUACAAUAGUGAUGGUUCUUUGCAAACUUUUUAGGCUAGAUUAGUAGCCAAAGGGUUUAAGCAAAGAAAUGGUAUUGGUUAUUUCGAUACAUAUGCUUCGGUAGCAAGGUUAACUUCUAUAAGAGUGCUAUUUGCAAUUGCUUCAUUGAAUAAUUUGUAUGUGCAACUAAUGGAUGUUAAAACCGCUUUUCUUAAUGGUGAUCUUGAUGAAGAAAUCUAUAUGGAACAACCUGAGGGAUUUGUUUUACCAGGAAAUGAGAAAAAAGGUAUGCAAGUUAGUCAAAUCACUUUAUGGUUUAAAGCAAGCACCAAAACAAUGGCAUGAGAAGUUUGAUUCGGUAAUUUUAUCUCAUGGUUUUAAGCAUAAUAAUGCUGAUAAAUGUAUAUAUUUUAAAGUUACGAAUGAUUUUGGUGUGAUUAUAUGCUUGUAUGUUGAUGACUUGCUUAUCUUUGGAACAAAUAUGCAAGGAGUAGAUGAUACAAAGAAGUAUUUAACUUCACAAUUUAAGAUAAAAGAUCUUGGUGAAGUAGAUACUAUCUUAGGUGUCAAAGUGAAGAAACAUAGUGGGGGUUACUCGUUGUGUCAAUCUCAUUAUAUAGAGAAAGUGCUUCUUAAAUUCAAUUAUUUGAAAUUUAAAGAAGCUAAUACCCCAUAUGAUUCUAGUAUUAAAUUAUUAGAGAAUUCAGGCCGAGUAGUAGCACAACUAGAAUAUGCUAGUGCUAUUGGUAGCUUGAUGUAUGCUAUGCAUUGUACGAGGCCUGAUAUAGCAUUUGCAGUUUGCAAAAUGUCAAGAUUCACGAGUAACCCUAGUGUUGAACACUGGAAAUCAAUUGGUAGAAUACUUGGUUAUCUUAAAAGGACCAUUAAUUUGGGUUUGUUUUAUAAUGAUUAUCUUGAAGUACUGGAAGGAUAUUCAGAUGCUAGUUGGGUAACCAAUACAAGAGAUAAUAAAUCCACUUCUGGUUGGAUUUUUACAAUUGCUGGAGGAGCAGUUUCUUGGGCUUCAAAGAAACAAAUGUACAUAACUCAUUCAACAAUGGAAAGUGAGUUUAUAGCACUCGCAGUUGCAAGCAAGGAAGUAGAAUGGCUGAGAAAUUUGUUGUUUGAUAUAAUGUUAUGGCCACAACCGAUGCCAUCUAUUUCUUUGUACUGCGAUAGUGAAGCUACAUUGUCUAGAGCUUAUAAUAAAGUGUAUAAUGGAAAGUCUAGACAUAUUAGCUUGAGACAUGAAUAUGUGAAACAAUUAAUAGCAGAUGGUGUUAUUAAUAUUGUUUAUGUUAGGACUAAUAAGAACCUAGCGGAUCCUUUAACAAAAGGUCUUACAAGAGACUUAGUUAAGGAUACAUCUUUUGGAAUGGGAUUGAAACCUUUAAAUAAUAAAGUCACCAACGACGAUAACCCAACUAUGUAGUAGUUGCACCGCUACUCCAUAGUUAAAUGGAUAAUAACAAGUUGUUGUUAUGUGACUGGUUUGGCACCGAGUAAUAAAUAAUCACAUUCGAGAUAUUCGGUGCAAAUAGCUACGAGGUUGAGGUUGAGUAUUUACUCUUAAUGAAGUUCAAGUCUUAUACUAGCUAAAGACAUGAUUUGAAACUUCACCUAAGUGAACAUAAGAAAUGGUGCCGUUUCUAACAAGAUCAUGGUUUAAUCUAGUAAAUGUUUAUGAAUCCAAGAUAGAGCACAAGGCCGGAAUAGUGCUAAAUAUUGGAACACAACUUUGAAAAUCUGGGAUAGCUUAUAUGUGAUGUAUCUCCGGUAUUUACUUAAGAGACAAAGUUUAAUGCUUAGCACACUAUUGUUUUGUAAAUGCUUUGAAAUACACUCACUAAUUAAAGGUUAAAAUCGAAAGAUAUCGUUUUGUAUGUAUAAGUUUAUCAUUAAUAAAUAUGAAAAAUAUUACAAUCUAGUGGGGGAUUGUAAGAGAGAUUGUAACAUUUUCAAUCUUUGGUUUGAUAUUCUGGAAGAAAACGGUUUGCCGUUUAUGGAGAAAACGGCUAACUGUUUAAUUCCAAAUAGCAUGUUUUCUGUUCUAGAGAAAACGACUAACUAUUUGGAGAAAAUGGCUAACUGUUUAAUUUUAGAGAGCAUGUUUUCUGUUCUAGAGAAAACGGCUAACCGUUUGGAUAAAACGGCCAACCGUUAAUUACAGAGAGUAACUUAUUUGACAUUCUGGAAUAAAACGGCUCACCGUUAUUGAGAAAACGGCUAACCAUUUAUUUCCAGAGAGCGUGUUUUUGCGUCAACUGGAAAAACGGUUAGCAAGCUUGGAAAUUUCAAUUGUCAAUCGAUGCAAACUCAAACCAAAAGAGUGUUUUUUUAAAGAAGUACCAUUUCUAAUAGUUGUAUUCUUUCAAAUAAACAUCUUCUUUAUUAAAGAUAGACAAACAAUUAGAUCAUAAUCAGAUUUUGCAGGUUUCAUAUAUGUUUUGGAAAUACAAUCUUAUUUGCUAGAGAUUGUAUUCAGGAUUUGAUAUAUCUUGGGGGUAAUUUGCCAUUAAAACUCUAUAGCAAACCAAGAUUGGUGAGGGCAAAUAAAACCUUAAAGGAAAGUGUGCAAACACGUCUCAAAUCCUAAGAAUUGUUUUUUGUUCUUUGUCUCAAUAUUCUUAAAAUUCGAAAAUUCACCCAUCAUAUACAUACUACAUAUUAUUAAUUUUUGUUUUAUAACUAUAGUUUUUUUUUUACCGCAACUGUAGUUUAAAAACUACAGCACCUCAAUCCCAAAUAAGACCUUAGUAGAAGUGAGCGCGAAAGCCGAUCACCCAACAUUCGCGCUUGUGAGAGACUCCACUCUCUCCACUCCUUCCAAAUCCAAAAUCCUCGACCGUUUCAAAAAUCUCAGCUCGACCGUUUCAAAAAUCUCAGCGUCAAUUUAGUUCAUGUGCGCCACUCUUUUAGCUUUCCAAUUUUCCCGCCAAUUUUCUUUUAUUGUGAUUAAUUAAUUAAUUAAUGUAAAGAUUUUAUAUUAUAAUUUUGUUUGCAGGGAGAUCUAUACAGCCAUGAGAGCUUGGUGAGUACAAUAAAGCAAGUGGAUGUGGUGAUAUCAGCGAUAGGUCGCACUCAAUUAGCUGAUCAACUCAACAUUAUCGCAGCAAAUUGCGAUAACUAAGUACUUGGGAUUUUAAAGAAGCUGGAAAUGUUAAGGUUCUGAUUAACUUAAGUAAAUGCGUUAACUAAUUACUUGGGAUUUUAAAUUCAAAUGUGUGAAUUGUUCUAAAAAAUUAUUUAUGUUUAUUAGUCAGAGAUUCUUUCCUUCAGAAUUUGGAAAUGAUGUUGAUCGCGUGCAUGUCGUUGAGCCAGCAAGAACAUCAUUUGCCACCAAGGCUAAAAUCCGCCGAGCUGUUGAGGAUGAAGGAAUUCCAUACACCUACGUAGCUACGUAGCUUCCAAUUUCUUCGCUGGUUUGUAUCUUUCCAGUUUCUCACAGCCUGAAGCCACAGCUCCUCCAAGGGAUAAAGUGGUCAUCGUAGGUGAUGGAAAUGCAAAAGGCAAAGCGCUUCUGGAUACAUUUACUCUGUACACGCAAUGUGUGGUUACUGUUUGGAGAUAAAAAAGGAGAUUAAUUAAUAAAGAAAAUGAAAUUAUUGAGGGAUUUGCUGAAGAGUUGCGUGCACUCCUCAUUUUUCUCCACCACUCAUCUUACUUGCAAAAUGCAAUGACCAAACUAUCCUCGCCAAAGCCUAGACAUUUACUUGUGUUCAAAGGCCAUUUAAGGGAGACAAGUACAAAAAGUUAUAAAGGAUAGUAAGCAGAAGAAGAAAAUGGAAAGGGGAGGGGGGGGGGGGGAGAAUAAAAAAGGGGAGUGGGGCGUUAUCUAGGGAGGAUUUUUAUUUUUAUUUUUUUUCCUCUCUUCUCCAUGGCAUCUCUUUCUCUCUUUCUCCCACUAAGAAAUUCUUUCUUUUACACUCUAUUUUACUUUUAUGCAAAUUACGCAAAAAACUUUUGGUUUUAAGGCAAUGUUUAUUAAGCCACGUGAAUUUGAAAAAGCAUGAAUAAGGGGAUGAUUUUAACACAUUAAUUCACCAACAUUAAUUGGAAAAGAUCAGUUGCCACUUCGAAUCAGAGUAAUUUCUUCGGCAAUAGCCAAAUAUUGAUAUUUGAUCUUGACACUGUAGUUAAAUCAAUGUAACUGAUUUUGUCAUUUGAUCCCCAGUAAUUUUUAACAAGGAAGACGAUAUUGGGAUUAAUUCUAUCAAAGCGGUGGAUGAUCCAAGAACACUGAACAAAAUACUUUACAUCAGACCCCGUUGCAAUAUCUACUCAUUUAAUGAUCUUGUGUCUCUGUGGGAGGAAAAGAUUGGCAAAGCCCUUGACAGGGUCUAUGUUACAGAGGAACAACUUCUGAAAAACAUUCAAGGUUAGUUAGAACUAUCACUUUAUCAAGUGGAUAGAUGUAACUGACCGAUAAUGGAAAUUUUUUUCCUUCUCCAAAAUGCGAUAGAAUCUAAUCGGUUUCAACAAUCUCAAGAACACCUAUUCAUGGUUGUGUUGUUUGAAAUCUGUAUGUAUCAGUUUUCUUUCUAGAUCUCAGAUUGCUCGCAAGGAUGUCAAGUUUUGAUGAUGCUUGCCUGUUUUCCUGUGUUUACAGAAGCUUCAUAUCCACUCAAUAUGAUAUUACCUAUUGGGCACUCUGCCUAUGUCCUGGGAGAUCAGACCAACUUCGAAAUUGAACCUUCAUUUGGAGUAGAGGCAACAGAGCUUUAUCCAGAUGUCAACUACACUACUGUGGAUGAGUACCUCAACCAGUUCAUAUAAACCUUCUGAGAUGAGCAGCAGGAUCCUAACAAAAAAUUGGGUGGUUUCCAUCCCUGAUUCUAUGGUAUAAAGAUAGCGGCUUUCCCUGCUUUUGCCAGUUCAGUGAAGUUUGUUAGAUGAUGUUAUUUAUACUAUACUAGCAAAGAUCAAGUUGCCUUUCUUGUCAAGAAGCCAAGCUCUGGCAUUGGUUUAUGCUAGUUUUUCACACUAAUAUUGGUAUUCACUAAUUUUUUUUUUUCAUUUCACACCGCCAUCAUCAGUGGAGAUGCCCUCUUGUAUGGUACUAACUUUGAUUUUCCUUAUGCUUCACUUGCUGUCUCUGCAGAUUCGUAAAAGAUCAUUCAUGGAUAAGAUCAGAACAUCAAUUUGAUACAGUAUGCAUUGAGAACUCCCACAUGAUUCUUGUUCUAGUUCUGGUUAGACAUGAAACAUGUUACAGUUCCAUAACUUGAGACAUUGUCAUUCAACAAUUAUCAUCACAUUAAAACAGUGGCCAAUCCCUAACAGCUACCUUUUGACUCUUCACAUUUUUUUUCUGCAUUUUAUGCGCAUUAAUUAUCUAGACCUAGACUUAUUACACUUCUCAGCCUGGCCCGUUGGACAGUGAGUGAUGAAACAAAUUUUUUUUCAUGUUUAUUACUUUUUUUGCAUUCAAAAUGAUAAAACUGCAGAGGUUGUUGCAUGCACGUCAUUUGUUAGUAGGGGUAUCAAUUUAUGAACGUAUGAAGUAUCUCUUCUGCACCGGCAUCCUCCUUAACUGUCAGUAGGAUCACAAUAAGUCGACCAACCAUCUACCGUAUGGAUUAUCUAUAAAUUGAAAUUGGUGUGUAUUAUGGAUCUGUCACUCUGCUGCUUCUGUUUUCUUUUCUAUUUUUACCAAGAAAGAAACAUUGUUAAAACUGAAUGGUUGUUAUCUCGUCUUGUUGUAAUGUUGUGUAUGCUUUCUAGAAAAUAAUGAAGUGCCAAAUAUGAAAAUACUAGUGGCUACCUUACCAUCCUUAAUAAGUUGUCUGAUUGUCACCGUCAACAAUCACUCUCAGCAACUCAUAAUCCAUUUAAGCAUAUUAUAAAAUAAUCAAUUUUGUAUUUGCACCAACUUUUAGUUUUAAAUGACAAUUUCGUUGAUCCCCACACUUCUGUACUAAUCAAAUCCACUGAAACUGGACUUUUUUUUCUUUUUUUUUAUAAUUACAUCGAUUGCAUUGGCUAUUGCAGGGAAAAGACUGCCUCUACAGGGAACUAAACUUUCAGAAUUGAUCUUAUGAGGGUUUGAAUAUGCUCUCGUACUAGGUCAAUGGCCUAUUGGUUCGAGACCAUUCACAAAGAAAGAAAUGAGUUUUGCUUGUAUAAAUGAAAGAAAUCCAAAUGAUAACUAAUGUAUAGUGGUACAUGAGAAAAAUAAUUUCAGCCCCUGUGUAAAGUCAAAAAGAGAAAAUAUUAAAAGAAAGGAUAAUGUCAUUGAGUUCGGUGAAGUGAAAGAAAAUAAAAAACAUGGGAUUUAGUCAAACUUAGUGUCCCAAUCAGCAGAAAAAGGUUUUAGAAACUCACCUCAAGUUAAGCCAACUAUUAGGAGCUUUAUUUAAUCAUGGCUUUCUAAUGUAUAGUACUCCAAUACUAAACGAGGGCUACCUCUACGCUUGCAAAUGUAAAUGAAAUUGAGUUCGUGACGCACAAUGAAGUGAGCAAAAUGAGUUGAGAUCUGAGAAUAUAUUAAAGAAAAUAUGAAUCAAUGAAUUUUGGUUAAAAAAAACAAAUGCUGGUUCUUCAAGACCUGCGUGUAUUGUGUAAGUUUUGUUAGGAGAAGGAAAGCAUUUUGGUCUAAAACGCACUAAAUCGGAUUCAUUUGCUUGAUAUCUAAUAAGGGUGAAUUAACCACUCGCCCACAGCAAUUCAAGUACCCAAAAAAGUUUUGUGGGGGCUAAAUUUCUUCUUUAAUUAUAAAAAAUAAUUGAACGGAGGAUAAAAAUUUAGGCCAUGUAUAACAAUAACUAAUAUAAACUAGUCCUAAUAAUAGUAUAAUUGUAAAUAUCAGUUGUAGUCUCAUACAAUAUAAGUUUAUAGAUUAUAAUAUCGGCAUAAAAAGAAAAAUGAUAUCUGACGGUCAAUCAAUAAAAGGAUAAAAACUUUGGAGUAACAUACCACAAAGUCAAUGUAGCUGGACAGUGAAUAUAAUAUGUAAACAAAUUUAAAUGGGAUAAUACCAUACGGUACAUACAUAACAUUUUAAAACUGAAUUAAAAAAAUAAAAUUAAAACUGAAUUAGAAUUCGUAUGUGUAUCCAGCUACCUUGCCACAGUUGUAAGGUACCCUAACUUUGCAACAAUUUCAUCCUUCGUGCAUUCGGUCACAAAGUCCAAAUUAGGCACGUUUAAGAAUCGAACUGAAAAACUAAAAAAAAGAAUCCGGCGAUAUUUGCGAACCGGAAACGAGCCAGCGUUAUGCUUAUGUCAUUUCAGAGAUAUCAACAGUCGUGCUUUCAGUCCUUAAACCUCAAGGGCAUUUUCGUCCUUUCACUCAAGCGUGAAACUGCAUGUAAGAACUGCUUCGCUUACACGCUCCAUGCACAUUUAAAGGCACCACUGUCGGAUAAAAAAUAUCCAUCCAUUUGAUCAUUUCAAAACAAAACGAAAAAAAAAAUCUCAGUAAUUGAACUGAACGAGUCUCAGAAAUGGCAUCGAAAAGUAAGAUUCUAUUCAUCGGCGGGACAGGGUAUAUCGGUAAAUUCACUGUCGAAGCGAGCGUAAAAGCCGGCCACCCGACGUUCGUGCUCGUGAGAGAAUCCACAAUCUCUGGUCCUUCCAAAUCUCAACUCCUCGAUCACUUCAAAAACCUCGGCGUCAAUCUCGUCAUAGUGCGUUUUCAUUUUUCUCUUUUCUUAAUUUUUUAUUCCGAUCAUUUUUACACGUCGAAGUGUAGCAUCUACUACUUAAUAUACAUAAUGAUAUUAUUAUUUUUUAAUUUUUUUGGGUUGCUGUUAUUAUUAUGCAGGGAGAUGUGUUGAAUCACGAGAGUUUGGUGAAGGCGAUUAAACAAGUGGACGUGGUGAUAUCAACGGUCGGUCACACUUUAUUAGCUGAUCAGGUCAAGAUUAUUGCUGCCAUUAAAGAAGCCGGUAACGUUAAGGUAUAACAUAAUUAAUAUAAAUAUCUUGAAUUCCGAUCAGGAUUGUGCACUCGCGAACACGUGGUGAUUUAUUCUUGGUGUGGAGCUCGCUGUAGAGUAGAGCUCCCAGUUCAGCUAAUAAACACCCCGUCACAUGCGCAAUUGCGCCUCAAAAUAAUUUAAUUGAUUAAUUAAGGAUAAAUACCAAUGGCAUGAAAGCAAUUAAAAUUAGUUGAUGUUUAUAAAUUAUUUAUUACUCAGAGAUUCUUACCAUCGGAAUUUGGAAAUGAUGUUGAUCGAGUUGAAGGCGCCGUAGAGCCAACAAAAUCGACGUAUGACGUAAAGGCGAAAAUCCGCCGAGCCGUUGAGGCAGAAGGCAUUCCGUACACUUACGUAGAAUCUUAUUGUUUUGAUGGCUAUUUCCUCCCCAAUUUGUUGCAGCCUGAGGCCACUGCCCCCCCUAGGGAUAAGGUUGUCAUCUUAGGCGAUGGAAAUCCAAAAGGUAAUAUAAUUUAAUUAAGCUCUGUUUGUUUGGUAUGUAUUUCGGUGUUAAUGUUAUUGUCUGUUGUACAAUGGAUGGUCUUGCUUGGUACUGUUGUUGGAGAGCUGCAGUGUUUUGAUAAACACCUCUAUCCUUAGCUUUCAAGUUAAGUUGAUUUUAUACAACACUUGUUUAAUUCAAAACUUGUAAUAUUCUUACUACUUUGAUAAAAAAUAUUACGAUUAAAGCAUUAAUGGCACCAUAAUACGAAAUGAACCUUAAGUGGUCAUUAUAGAUUUUAAGAUAGAGUUUUAAGUGAUUACCAGAUACUUUAGCUGCUGAACCGCCACAUCAUGGUUGCCACACAACAAUUUCAAACAGAACCUAAAUAACUUCAUUGCAAAACAGUUAAAUGAAUCUAACUUAGUUUCGUCGUUUGAUUUUCAGCUGUUUUUAACAAGGAAGAUGAUAUUGGAACCUACACUAUCAAAGCGGUUGAUGAUCCGAGAACCUUGAACAAAAACUUUUACAUUCAGCCUCCCGGUAAUAUUUACUCAUUCAAUGAUCUUGUGUCUCUGUGGGAGAGAAAGAUUGGUAAAACCCUCGAAAAGGAGUAUGUUUCAGAGGAGCAGCUCCUAAAGAAUAUUCAAGGUUGGUUAAAACUCUCUUUUUUAAAUGUAUUAAAGAGAGCCGUAUAUUCUCUGCCGUAAAUGUCAUUGAUCCUGUCUUCUCCAAAAUGUUGCAGAAGCUGCACCUCCACACAAAGUGAUAUUAUCAAUUUAUCACUCUGCUUUCGUGAAGGGAGUUCAAACCAACUUCAAGAUUGAACCAUCUUUUGGAGUUGAAGCCUCGCAGCUUUAUCCUGAUGUCAAGUACACUACAGUUGAUGAGUACCUCAAUCAGUUUGUGUAACCCUUCGCUGUUUCCAGCUGCAGCUUGCAGGAUCUUGGACUGUUGGUAAAUAAAUAAUUGGCUUGUUGCCAUCUUUGGUUUUAUAUGUAAAAAUUAUGGUUGUUGGCCUUACUUUCUUCUGGUUGUCCAUGGAAUUUGUUAGACCAUAUUAUGUUUGCUAUGUCAGUGAUCAAAUGAAGUAGACCAUGUACUUGAUUUGAGAGUAGUAGUUAUAAAGCCAUCAUGAUCAGGUGGGUGCGUGGGUUGGGCUUCUAUUAGGGUGCGUGUGUUGGGGGGCUUCAGGGGCUUGUGAUAUGGGUUCGACAGCCCCUAACGGGCAGUCAUUAUAAAAAUGAUUAUAG
This 51463-nucleotide long non-coding RNA is filed under the name Citrus maxima (pomelo). Its description in RNAcentral is "long non-coding RNA (CMAX_LNC003344)". Lineage: Eukaryota; Viridiplantae; Streptophyta; Magnoliopsida; Sapindales; Rutaceae. The record is from RNAcentral.